Molecule: long non-coding RNA, 85957 nt
Filed under: Populus trichocarpa (black cottonwood)
Lineage: Eukaryota; Viridiplantae; Streptophyta; Magnoliopsida; Malpighiales; Salicaceae
Description: long non-coding RNA (PTRI_LNC004370)
Rfam family: MIR2912 microRNA precursor family (bases 61616-61771)
Source: RNAcentral
AGAAAACCAACAAAACCUAUAAACAGCUACUUGUCUUUGUGUGUUGAUUAAUUGUAGUUAACAUGGCACGUCAGGCAGAUCGUCUUGUUAAGAUUGGGCAGGAGGGUUUUGCAACCAUUGAUGAGCACUUCGGCCGGGCCAAGAGGCGGCCACCAGUUAUGAAGGUUCCCUAUGCUCAUCCCACAUAUUACGAUGUUCCUGCAACAGAAGUUAUCAACAGCAACGAGGCAGCUCAACGCUACAAGGGGAGGGUUUAUGUCGAUUACCCUAAGGGUAAACCAGUUCCGUUUUAAAGACCUAUUGAUUAAUCACUUAGCUUUCUUGUAUGCAUAACCUCCUCCAGUUGUGUUACCUUUAGUCCUGUACGAUAUUCUCCCUCUGCUAAACGUAGACGAGGAGAGGUUGCUAGAACUCGAGUCAGGAGCUUCUUCUUACUUCUUCAAAUAAACUUUCUGUGAUUUAUAUAUCAUUUUCUAUUUGUAUGUAUUGUCAUAAUUAUCUUUCUUACUUCCUCAUUAUCACCUCUUACUUAGCAUGGAAUUGAAAGAUACAAUAUGCUCUUGAAAUGCUUUGAAGCUCUUCAAGGUGUGAUUUCACCGACUAAGUUUGGAACUGUACAGAGCUCAAUGAUGAGCCGUGGGAGGCGUCUCUGAUUGUUGCACUGUAAGCAUGAGUGUACGUAUGAAUAUAACCAGCAGAUCCGCAAACCACAAGUGAUGACAAGCUUCUUAACACUGCUGCAUUUAACAGUUUUACCAACAAAAUGUUUUGUCGGUAUUUACUCUACCAUUCCGUCAGCAUGAAUUUUAUCGACUGAUUUACGGACGGAAACAGUCCAUUGGUAAAUUCCUCUUGUCAGUAAUUUCAUUAAUGUCGGUACAAAAAAACCCGAUGGUUUUACAAAUAGAAAAUGCAAGCCAAUUUUUUUUCCACUGGAAUAUACAGACGGAAUUAUUUCUUCGGUGAUUGACAGUGGCAUAUGGAGUAAUUUUAUUCCAAACCCUCUAUAAAAUACCGAAGGAAUUAUUCCAUCGGUGAUGUAACAGUUGAAAUGGCAUAUGCAGUAAUUAUUUUUCAACUCUCUGGAAUAUAACGACCAACAAAGUUUGUCGGUAACUUCGUCCGUAAUAAUUAAAAAAUAUAUAUAUUUUUAAAAAUUAUUUAUUGAACAAAAAAAGAAAAUAAUAAAAAAUAUAAAAUUGUAUAAAAUUCAAGUAUGUAAAAAUAAAUUACCUUAGUAUAAAAGCCAAAUAUUCAUUACAAAUUUAUAUGUUCAAAUAAAAUUAAACUAGAAAAAUGGCGGCGUUGGAGGAGGCUGAUCGUUCCCGGGACCAUAUGGCCAAAAAGAGUGUCGCACGUGACCCGCGCGGCGUCCGAUGGUGAUUUUUUCGUUAUGCGUUUGCUUGAUUGGUUCGUUGGGAGUCGCCACCUAGUAUUUAAUUGAGGGCAACUAGGAAACCCGGGUGUACUGGUCUUGUCAGAGAUUCACGGGUAAGGGACUGGUUGUGGUUAGGGAAGGUAUUUGCACCCCUAACGCACCCUACCUGAGGUAAGCUGCUUCGUGGCUUUGAUGUGAUAAAGAAGUUUUAAAAAUUUUGUUCUUUCAUCGGGUAUUAGAAAUACGACUUACAUGUAAGUUCAUAAUUCUUGACCGUGAUCAAAUCAAAAUAUUAAAUUCUUCUUUAUUCUUUGCAAUUUUAUCAUAAAAAAAUACAUUUAUAAAAAAAAAACUACAAACAAACACAUUCACUUUCACUAUAUUUUUUCUUUUUUUUCUUUUUCACAUCUAUAUUACAAAAAUUCAAAACUAAACAAAAAUUACAUUAAAUAAUUUGAAAUUACAAAAAUAGCCCAAAAACAAGUCCAUAACAGUGCUAGGAAGCUUUCUGGAACUGCAUGCAGUGCUGAAGAAGGUUCCUGAACAGUUGAACAGUGCGCAACCGCCACUAGCGUCGCGUGGGCUCACGCGCCGCCGCGAGAAAUUCCAGGCAGUAGGGGGCGCUGCUGUGGCUUCCUCCCCUCUUCACUUCCCUACCGGCGGUUAGGGUCUUCAUCAACUGCAAAAGAAUAAAACACCCAAACCAGUUGAUUUUAAUUUUUCUUUCUUUUUCAGAUUUAUUUCGGUCUUCUCCUUUUCAUAUCUGCUUCACCGCAGAUCUUUCUUUGGUUUACAUCUUCUUCUCCUUCGCUUCAGGUGGCCGGCAGUUGGGUGGCGACGACACUGGAUUCAGGUUGUUGCUUUGGCCGCUGCAAUUGGUGGCUGAAGGAAAUGGCGUGGAUCUGUGGGCUGCCGUGUGCUGGCUGUUGUGGCUGACGGUGUGGAUAAAACGUGGAUUUGUGGUCUCUGUCUUUAGCUCGGUCAACUUGAGAUCCCAAUCUGGCCAUUCCCCUUAACUAGACCAAAAUGUCACCUUCAACUUGGUUAACCUGAAAUCUCAAUCAAAAGACCCCUUUUAACCACAACCUUAGUCUUUUUCUUUAGCUCAACCAACCUAAAAUCCCAAUGUGGCGAUUCCCUUUAACUAGAAUCAAAAUAUCAUCUUCAACUUGGUUAACCUGGAAUCUUAAUUAAUCUAGAAACCCCCUAGGCUUCCUAGGCUUAGACUUGUGUGGACUUAGUGCACUAGAUUCUUUUUUGUUUAAGUUUUGUUGGUUGAAAAAAUACUUCCUAAAAUUAUUAUUAUUGUUAUUGUUUUUGUUAUUAUUAUUAUUAUUAUUAUUCAUACACAGUUAUAUUUAUGAUUAUUAUAUGGUCAAUUUGUCUAUGUCAAAGAAUAGAAUCUGAGGCAACUUUUUGACCAAAAUUCCACUCUCUAUUAAACCAAAAUGUUUAAUGCAAGCAACUUGGUUACUCGGAUUUGAGAUGUAAAUAGAUUUUUUGUUGGGAUGAGGUGGUCAGGUUGCGUCACAUUGAUUAUGUCAUGAAGUUAACUAGAGUAAGAAAUAAAGAUAUAAAGUUUCGGAGAGAAUCAAGAUCAGUUAAAGGAAAAAAAAAAGAUUAUGAAAAUAAAUUGGAAAGGAAAAGUUUAGUUAUAAGGAAUCAGAUUCACAAAGAAAUUUAAGUCUCAUCGAUUCUAGGAAACAAGUUGGAAGGAAUCAAUUUUACAAUAAUUGAACUUGGCACUAGAGAGAACCUCUGUGCCACUAAGUACUGAAUCGUUAUUGAAAUGUACUGAAGGCCAUUUGUUUGCCAUUUGUGCUCAUUAAGACCAUAAUUCUAUUCUUUUAUAGUUUUUUGGAAGAAAUAAAAAACUAGGGUGAGUUAAUAUUCUGUAAAAUAAGCUUGGAAUACCGUGCGGGGGCUUGGCUCAGAGAUCAUUGAGUUUUUCCUACAAAUUGCCUUUUAAUUUGUUUCACCUGUAAUUGGACUGGGAUUCGGUAAUUCUGUUAAGGACUUUCAUUUGGUUUAAGUUUCCCUUUUGUUUACAUAUGAGGUUCCGAGACAACAGUUGCUUGCUGUUCUUGAACAAACAUUGCUUGGAGGUUAUCCAAUGCCGAGAUCAAGGUCAGAUAAUACUAGCGUACGAUUGUGCUUAUUGCCAUUAAUUAGAAACUGCAAUAUCGUAACAUAAUUAAAAUGAGAUUAUUCUGAUUAGAGAGCAGAAGGAAUCUUCUUUCAUAAUUGGCUUUUGCGAAGAUUUAGUGUUUUUGCUGCUCCUACUUUUGGACCUGACUUGAUUCCUGACCGGUAGAAACAGCAUUAGUCCAAAAGAAGGGAAGCUUUUGUUUUCUUUAAUCACAUGAUCACAUGCCCAGCACAAAUUCAUAAAAGUGGCUCUAAUGAUUGGCUGACAACAGUUGUUCAUAAGCAAUGUUUGCGUUCCUUAUUUUUCAAUUUACAAAGUAUUUAGAACAUUCAAUACUUUUUUGUAUGCAUAACCUCCUCCAGUUGUGUUACCUUUAGUCCUGUACGAUAUUCUCCCUCUGCUAAACGUAGACGAGGAGAGGUUGCUAGAACUCGAGUCAGGAGCUUUUUCUUACUUCAAAUAAAAUUUCUGUGAUUUAUAUAUCAUAAUUUUCUAUUUGGCUGGUCAAGCAUGCAUUGUCAUAAAUAUCUCUCUGCUUCCCUGAUUAUCACUUUAUUCACCUAUUACUUAGCAUGAAAUAUUGAAAGAUUAAUGCAGUUGGAAGCACAACAAUAUAGCUGCAAGCAUGCAAAGACAGAAGAUAAACUGAAAUAUGUUAAAACACAAAAGAAUCCCAAAACCUUAUUUUAUUUCUAAAAUAUUAUGUGAUCAAGUCUACCUCCUAGAGAGGUUUACAAUCCCUAUUAUAGGCUAGAAAAAUGGACCAAGAUUGGAAACAAAAUCAAAAUCCCAAAACAUAACGGGAAAUAACAUAAAAUCUGCAAAAUUAAGAAAAAAUAACAAAAUUAACCCAAAUAAUAACUCAUGAGCCUAAUUUUUGGAGAUCCAAUGCUCCAAUAACUACUGAGUGGUUUUUAAUUGGAAAACAACAUGUAGAAUUACUACUCUGGUCUUGCGUGAUCAUGCUUUUUCUUGGACCAAAACAUGUCUUACUAGUACAUGAAAAUAUGUGGGAGGCCAUAUAUAUAGUCUGUUUAUGGAAAAUACAUAAUUAAUUUGCUGUUCAAAUGGUUUUAAGCUCUUCAAGGUGUGAUUUCACUGAAUAAUUUCGAGUUUAGAAUUAUCACCUCAUUUUGGAAUUGUCCUGAGCACAGGAUAAAAUGAUGAGCCAUGGGGAGCGUCUUGGAUUAAGAAAGAAUAAACGGAGUUCAAGGUAAAACAACAGCUUAGGAAAAAAAAGUACAAAUUUACAAUAUAUCUAAGAAUAUCAGCGAUCAUGACCAUGAUUGGAUCAUUUGUGAAUUCUAUAACCAAAAUUUCCUUCACAAAUCUUUAACUAAGCUGGUAGUCGAUGAAGAGUUAAGGAAAAGCAUGAUUCCCAAUCCGAGCUACAUAUAUAAAUAUCUUAUCUCCUAUGAAAAUGAGAAGGGUACGCCUCCCUUUGAAGCAUUGAUUUACACAUAUCUUUUACAGAAAAAGGGAAACAAUGGGAAAUGCUCUGAGUAUAUACCUUUUCUUGAUCUUUCCCAAACCUUCAUUAUAAAUGGGACCCAUCAAACAUGAGAUGUGCUUUAACCUCCACCAUAUUUCAUCUUAGCCUAGAAGGAUAGACAAGAAUAUUAUUGCUUCUGAAACAUAACGAUUACAAGCAUCGCCUUUCGGUGAACUUUUGAUGACAUGAAACUGCCACAAAUUGGGUGCUAUCCGAGGGACUUUUGUUUUUCUGCUCUGUUAUUGGAUAUAUACAACUGAAAUCUUUAAGUCCUCUUUAGGGUACCCCUGAAAGAAAAUGGUCUUUCAUAGAAAGUCCUGGGGAAUCUGAGGCAUAUAAUAUGAGAUAUAUAUCGUCCCAAGAUCAUAAAAACGAUAAAUCUUAAUCUCAUCAAGUGUAGCCAUGAAGUGGGAUCAAAACCUAUUUUCUUAUUGUUAUUAACUAAAGGGAAAGCCACAACUAAGUCUCUGUGCUAUGAUUGUGAUUGUGUCGGCGUCAAGGAAUUGCCACGUAGUAGUUUGGUUUAGGGUCGCUAGAAAACCCGGAUAUACUGGUCUUAUAAGAGAUUCUAAGUGUAAGGAAUUGGUAGUGGCUAUGGAAGGCAUUAACACUCCUUGGGCACUCUACCUGAGUUAAGUUGCAUUGUGUGGUUUAAAUAUGGUUUAAAGGUUUUGAUGGGUUCCUAACCGGUAUCAUGUCUAUGUUUUAGGAUGGGGUUUAUUCAUGUGAAUAAAUCUGGCGUUUUGAAUUUAUUAUGGCCUCGUGUGCCCCAAUGAAUUCUUAUAGAAAGGAUUCACGUAGGUGCCCUAACAGGGUUCAUUUAUCCUAAAAAGCGGAAGGGUUUUCCAUAAUUCAAUCGUGCGUUGUGGUGAAAAGUACUCCCAAUUAAAAUUGAUGAAUAUUUAGAAUAAUUAUGAGAAUUUUCUAGUCAAUUCCUGAUAUUUAAUUACCAGUCUACUUGCAGGUCCAACAUUUAUACCACAAUAUUGACCAUUAAUUCUCAUGAAUUAAAAUUUUAAAGGUUAUUGAAAUAUUGGCUAAAUUCUCAUGAAUUUAGUAAACCAGUUAUUAAAUUCAAAAUGCUAGGAAAUAUAUAUUUUGUAAAAACUUCCUAAAACACAUGUGUGUGUCUAUAUAUAUAUAUAUAUAUAUAUAUAUACUUUUUAAGCAAACACAUGAUUUUUGCAUUUUUGAGGGACUUGUUCGUAUGCAAUUAAAACAUUUGGAAAAAUUAAUUUUUUUUCUUUUUAUCUUUUCUAUCACAAAAUGAAAAUAAGUAAUAAAACAAAUGCAACACACACAUACAUUCUCUUUUUUACUAUAUCUUACUUGCACAUCUAAAAAUUACACAUGUUUACAAAACACCAAAAAUUCAAAUUUCUAACAAUAAUUUAAAAAAAUUGCAAAAUAGACCUUCCAAAGGUAAAAAAUAAUUUGGAGAAGUUGGAGCUCGGGAAUAGUGCUAGAAGAUUUUAGGGUUGGAGGAAUAGUGGCGAUGCGUGUAUCGAGGUGCCAUUUCCACUAACAACGCGUGGAACCACGCGCUGUAGCAGCUGGAGAGAUGGAAAACAAGGUGGAUCUGAAGCAUAAUCUUCUUCUCUUUAAUCUUGUGCCAACAGUGAGUGUCACCUAACCUGCAAGACAAAGAAAAAAAAGCACAAACAAUAGCUUUUACUUUUAUUUUAUUUUUUAGAUCUCAUUCUCUCAUUCUUUCUUCAUCUUAGUUUGCCUUUUCUUUUCUUCUUCAGGUGGUUGCUGCUGCUAUCAUAGAUGAAGGACGUUGGGUGUUGCCAAGAGGAGUUAAUACCUUUUUUGGUGGUUUCGGGUGUACUUGUGUUAGAGAAAAACAAAACGGGGAGUCUUGGAAGUAGUUGUUAUUGGUUGGAGCUGCUGGUGUUCGUGAUGGCUGGUAGCGUGGAGACCGAGAGAGAUGAGGAAAUGGGUCUAUUUCUUUGAUUUGGUGAAGAGAAAAUGAUGGUUGGUUGUUUUUUUUUUAUUUCACGGGUGGUGGUGGUUGAAAUGGGUUAAGAGGAGCAGGAUUUAAAGGAUAAUGCUCUAGUUGUGUAUUAUAGAAUGUACCUAUAUAAGAAAUAUUAUUGGUAUACUCUUAAAUUGUAAUCUCCACCAUUACUAUUGUAUAUUGUCAUACACAUAUAUAUAGAAAAGGCUGGCUAACCAAUAGGUUAAGCCUCCUAAUUAUUCUCAACUUGGUAUCAGAGCCUUCUGCAAUCAGAACUAUUUCUUCCCUCUCCCUAUGGACUCUACUCCUGCUGCCACCCUCUCCCACUACCACACUGGCGGUGCAGCCCAGCCGGCCAGCCAAUCAAAAGUUGUUGCUGAUGGUUCUUUCUCACACCAGUAGUAGCCCUAACUUGCAAAGCAGCACCAUGGUUCCUUCUCCCAUGUUUCUGUUUUCCCUCUUCACAUCAUGGGGACAUCAACUCCUUUUAUCAUUGCAUUAUCCAUCACUCAGCAAGUGGUUUCAUUGAAUCUUACAAACACCAAUUAUCUCUAUUGGUGAAUGCAGGUAAAGCCAUAUCUUUGGUCAAGGUGUUUUCCACUUUGUCGAUGGCUCAAUGUUAUGUCCUCCCUCACAUGUUUUUGAUAGUUUUGAUGGUUCCUCUUUGGCAAUCAACCCCUCCUUUCUUUGUUGGAAGCAAUAUGAUUAGCUUAUUUUAAGUGUGUUACCCCCCUCUCUCUCCAUGGAUGUACUGCACCUUAUGGUAAAAUGUCAGACUUCUUUUUGUGUUUGGUGCACUCUUGAGAAAGUGCUUGCUUCUCCGUCGAAUUCUUGUAUCAUACAACUCCAUGGGUCUUUUCAAGAUCUUUGGCAAGGCGAUGCCUUAGUUGCUCAAUAUAUGCAGCACGCCAAGUCAUUAUUUGAUGAACUGGUUGCUGUUGGUUGACCCCUUUCUCUUGAAGACUUCAACCUUUACAUAUUUUAUGGUCUUCGUGGUGAGUUUAAAGACUUGGUAACUAGUCUUGUGACAAAGGCAGAACCGUUAUCAUACUUGACCUUCAUAGUCAUCUUCUUACUCAUGAGUUUCUGCAUAAGACUUCCCUUCCAUCCAUGGCUGCAAAUCCACCUCUGCUGCCCACACCAUCUCUUCUGCCCUCUGCUCAUCUUGCUCAGCAUCAGCACAACCCUAAUUUCAAUCGUAACUGUAACAACCCUGAUUUUCUACAUUCUUUUUCGCGAUACAUUGGAAAUUUUCAGGUAAAUUUUUUUUUUUUUGAUAUACAGGUUCCACCAAAAUUUCAGCAGAGUCUCCCCUAUACUGGGAGGUCCCAAGUUAUUGACAUAUACCUGUUUACACUUCUAAUAUCUCACAUCUCAUAACUCGAUCACGACCCAAUCAUCUUGGGUCUCAAUCCCACAAACAUCAUCAUCAUCACAACCAUAAUAUUUAUAACAUACAUUGAACAACAAAUAUCAUUAUAGAGGAAUAAAUGAGAUAAACACGCAUACAUGAAACAUGAUUAUAUGAAUUUCAGAGUUAGGUUUGUUUAUUCAAGUUUAAACAUCAAAUAUAUAAAUUAAGUUCUAUAAAUGUUUUAAUAUUUCAAAAUACAAGGAUAUACUACCUAGAACUACAUAACAAAAAGUGAACAAAAGCUAGGAUCUACUCCUGUAGUACACUCGAUGAUCCUGAAACAAAAUACAUAUUAUUGAAACAUGAAUAUCACAAUAAGUAUAGUAACACAAAUAUCCAACAAUUUAAAAAGGCAAACAUGUAUUCAUAUUCUAUUCACUUCUCCAUUUUUGUUUCCAUUGGAACUCUUCUUCAUUCAACUACUAAAACCGUUUCAUCUUCCAUUUUUAACUUCCAUUCAAGAUACCAUAAAAUCAACCACAACUAUUUUUGCCUAACUCAUUGUCAAUACUAAUUCCACCGGUAUCAUCAUCACCUCGUAAGCAUUGAUGUUUAGUGAUCCCCUUACCCGGGACCCUAACAUACACUAAAUGUAUGCUAGUCCAUGCCCCAUAGGCGUCAAUGCAUGGUGAUCCCCUUAUCCGGGAUCCUAACAUACACUAAAUGUAUGUAAGUCCAUGCCCAUAGGCAUCGAUGCAUGGUGAUUCCCGUACCCGGGAUCCUAAGAUACACUAAAUGUAUGCUAGUCCAUGCAUGGUGAUCCCCUUACCUGGGAUCCUAACAUACACUAAAUGUAUGCUAGUCCAUGCCCUAUAGGCAUCAAUACAUCGUGAUCCCCUUACCCGAGAUCCUAACAUACACUAAAUGUAUGCUAGUCCAUGCCAAUUUCAUCCAUUAAUAUUGUCAUUCUUUGUCCGGUCAUAGUUAUCAUUACGAAUUUUCAUUUCAAGCAUGGCUCGUUUCUUUUCGAAGCUACGAUGUAACAUCACAUGUUUCCCAAAGGGAAAGGACCUAAAUUUUCACCCUUUAAUGCAUCUAAAUAGUCAUUUUAGCGAUUUUCCGAAUCUGCCAGCAAAGGUCGUAUUCCGACCUAUCCUCAGAUUUUUUUUCUAUAUCUGGAGUUCUAGGACUCCUUUUCAAGCAAGUUUGGUCUCGUUGGAAAGUUAAGACACAGGGCUAAAAGUCCCAUGAAGGGAGGAGAAACCAGUUCUGCCCCCAAGACAUUCGAAAUUAUUCGUCAACAAAUUAGACCUACUGCCCUAUAGGGUCUGUCAUGACCCAGUCUCGGUUGGUGACCCAUAACUGGAUUUCUAUAGCUCUAAAUUGAGUAAGGCCAGUUUCCUUAGUUAGUCAACAUCCAAAUCUACAAUUAUUAUGAGGAACCUGAUCCUAAUUCCCUCAUCCUCCUACUCGAAUUCUCUCCACAAGUAAGGAGACGAAUCUAUCCAGAUUCAUCAACCUUUCCAUUUACACACAAUAUCCACAAUUCAACCUUUUCCCUUUAUCUCAACCCCUAGCCAUAUCACAUGUCGUUUAAGAGUGUCAACAAUAUCUUUUUACGAGUCAGUUUAUCCUAACUAAUUGAUCUAUACCAUUGUAUGCAAGGUACUCUUAUUCAUUCCAAUAAUAUCACAACAAGUCUGAUACAUAUCAAUGUACGUAAGACACUCGUAUCCAUUUCAAUUAUGUCAUAACUAGUUGAUACACAUCAAUGUAUGCAAGGUACUCAUAUUCAUUCCAAUAUUUAUCGAAGCAAUAAAACAAUAAAUUCUGAAAUCAAUGAGUUUACAGAAAUUGAAAAGGCAAGGUGCGAUGCACCUACCUAGAGUAUGUGCAUGUGCUUCCACUCCAUGCAAUUGUCCAGUCCCCACAGCUUUCUCUGUACCACCAGAGAUUCAGUCUUUAUCAACAAUACAACCAACAUCACAACUUUAUUUAAUUUUCAUUCAACUAGUAUUCUCAAACCAAUCACAAGGAAUUUCUUUAGGAUCUCAUACUCUUUCCCAUUUUCAUGUUUAUAUUCAUUCUUAUAAUUUUGUUAUCAAAACCAUCACUCAACAACAAUUCCAAGCAAAGAUUAAGAAUCGUCUAAUUCCGAUCAAUUUAGCUUAACCAACCCAGAACACUAUCUAGUGUUUUAAUUAUAAUUAAAGCUGAAAAACUUUGUUUUGGGUGUGAUUUAUCUCCAUCAAAGGCUAAAACCUAGAAAUACAACUUUUAUGAAGAAGCCAACUCCAAAUUAUUUUGUUUUAAGGCUCAAAAUCAACAAUCAUAAUAGCCCCUCCUUUAUAGCUAAAUUUUUUGGACAACGAGGAUUUUCAUCCCUUGAAAAUCCUUUUCAACUUUCAACUUAUUUUCAUGCAAAAACAACAUCAUCCAAGGUCAUUUGGCAUCAUUAAAUCACAAAUUCAAACCAAUUAUAAAGCAAAGGAUUCAAACAAUUUCCCUACCUCUACAAUAUAGCAAGAUUAGACCAAAAUAAGGAAACUCAUUCCUUUUAGGAUUUCUCUUAUUAUUAUUAUUAUUAUUGUUAUUAUUAAUACAACAAAAUGAUGAACCAUUUAUUUUCUUUCACUUUCUCCUCGUGCGAUUAAACAUAUGCGACAAACCUUAACAAUUAAUAUUCUUAGAUCAUUAUCACAACAACAAUUUCACCCUAUUAGUUGGAAUCCAUGACAAUCUUCAUUAACUAAUCAAUUUGCCAAAAAUACUUAUGGCUAGCUUUAAAUAUGUUUUAUUUUCUGAAUUUCUUUCAUUUCAAUUUCUUCAUGGUUCCACCCCAUUUAUAUCCACACAACCAACAAGUUAGCUUUUUAUUCAAUCAACAUGUUCAUAUAGCAAUGUUAUAUAGCAAUAUUCCUUACUAUUCUUACACAAUAAUCAUUCUUCCCCUCAUAUGAAGAAUACACAAUUAAUCUAUCAUAAUACUAAUAACAAAAACAUAUUUUACCAUUACAUCUUCCAUAAAACCUACACCCACACAAUCUAAUUUCAUCAAAACUUGUAUUUAAUCAAGCUUACUACAUUUUGCCAAAACUAGCAAUAGAUUCAAAAGGCAAUAAGUCAUCAACCUCUGAUUAUUAUGUUAAAUCAGACUACAUAUCAUAUAGUUUUGCAUCAUAUAUCUCAAAAUCAUAAUGAUCCAACGGUUAGAUCUCCCUAGAUCUUAAUAAAACCGAGCUUACCUUAAAAUGGACAAGCUACUGUUCAACAUGCACAAAACCUUGCCAAAUAAUGAGUUUCGAUCUCCACCGUCCAAAAUGAAGAAAACAUCUAGACGCACCACAUAUCCAAGAAUGAGCAUGAUCCAACGGUGGAAGAGAGAUAAAACGGCUAGCGACCAAACUGCCCUGCAGGUGUAUUUCCUUUUUGUUUUCCAGAAAAUUUCCGAUGGUAAUUUCUAUCCAACGGAUUGUGUUCCUUCCAAUCCCUCCAGGUAGUUAGUAGUGGAGUGUGAUAAGAAUAACAUAUCCAAAACGUAGCAUGAUCCAAUGGUGGAUUCCAGAGAUAUUGCCACCGGAUCACUAUUGGUUUUUCUCUAAAAUCUGCAGUUCUCUCUCUAUCUGAUUUUCUCUAUUUUUUUUCUUUCUUUUUUCUUUCCUUUUUCUUUUUUUUAACUUGUGGCCUCUUUGCAGUUUUAUAGGCACCUUUUUCCAUAAUUAUAAUUUUGUCCCUCAUUCAUGCCUUUAUAUAUUUUAUUUUAUUUUUCAUGUAAACUAUCCGGUUUAUUUAUGCUUAAAUCGCUAGUCUUUACCAAACUCCGAUUGGGAUGAGAUAUUUAACCAAGGUAGGAAAACAUAUUAAUAGACUUCAUGCAAAAUUUCAUCCCAAUUUCAUGUAAAAUUGGUCAGUUCAUGACCUUUUCAUCAACGAUCCAAAUUUUCUUGUUCAAUCUUCACAUAAAAUCAUAUCAAUUUUCCUUCUAAACCUUUAAGUCAAUUUAUUAUUUUUGAAUAUAUAUUCAUUUUAGAAUUUCCACCUUUAUUUAUUUAUCGGGCUUAUUACCAUUUCAAAAUAACAUCACUGAUUUUUAAUCGGUGCUUGCACCUUCAGUCCUACCCUUUUUAUUGCACUAUCCUUUAUUAUAAUGUAUUCUUUAUUACCUCACUUAUUUCUUAGAAACAUUUUGUUAUUUUUUUCUCAUUAUUUUAUCCAUCAAAACAUGUUACCAGUUUCUCUGUCCUUGUGAAUUCUAAACCAAAAUUCAUUUUAUAGAGGUCAUCUCUUCCAUUUUAUAUCAUUAUUUAUCUAUUAUUUCUAAUCUUGGUUUCCAUCACUCAUUGAAAUCAUACCACUUUCAAUCUCACAUUUACAUGAGGUUUUACACAUCGACAUAUUUAAAUUAUAAAUUUCCAGGGUCUCACAGUAACAGAGGUCGUUCUCACGAAAAUUGGCACCCCAACAGCAGCCGGUAUAACAGCUAGCACAUGUCUAAUUUUCAUGGUUUUCACUCAUCUGCUCCCGUAGAUUGGAAGCAAGGUAACUGGUAGCAAACCAGACGACCUGCUAGUUCUGGGAAGUGGCCUCCUCACUGACCUUUUGAGCAGAACAUCAAGUGUCAGAUGUGCUUCUCCUUUGGACAUACCGCCCUACAAUAUGCUUAGUUUCAUAGCAAUGGCCACCAGCCCUAUGCUCCUCUUGCUGUUGGCUCUGUUUCUGCCCCUACUUGGUUCCCGGAUACUGGUGUGAACCAACAUGUUACACCUGAUCUUGCAACUCUAACCGAUUUUGCACCCUAUCUUGGUAAUGAUUACUUGCAUGUUGGUGACGGUAAGGGUCAUUCCAUAUCCCAUAUUGGACAUACCAUGUUACGUUCCCCUAAACGCACCUUUACAUUCUCCAUAUUCCUCAUAUUACCAAACUAUUGCUAUUUGUUCAAAAAAUUUAUCAUGAUAAUAAUGUUUAUUUUGAAUUUAGGUCUGGUUUAUAUGGAUGAAAAGCUAAGACAUAGGCUUAAAACUUUCAUGAAGAGUUCAAGAUUCAAAACGACCGUUUUCAAGUUCAAAUGGUUGCAACAAAAGAGAAGUCGGAAUCUGUCUUGCAGCCCAGACAAUAUUCAGUGUUCAGCCCAUAACUCGAGUUCUAGAAGUCCAAAUGAGCUCAUUCCUAUUUUGUUUGAAAGCUGAGACAAAUGCCGAGAACUUUCAUGAAGAUUAUCUGUUCAAAUUGUGACGUUAGUAAUGACGUUUUGUUCAGACAAGAAGAUAAUUGUAGUCACCAAGUCAAGAGGUGGCCACCCACUCAAUAAUUAGUCAUCAAAUCAAUAGUUCUGAAUUUUAGCCUAUAAAAGGAGGCAUUUUUCAUACAUUUAGACAUCUUGGUGUUCAGAUCAAGAUCACUCUCUCUCUUUGUAUUUUGUAAUGUUCAAGUUUUAUUUUAUGUUAUAUUAAUCUCUUGUUUAUGUUUUUCAUUUCAUUUACUAUACUUAGUUAACUUAUAUCAUGUUUAUGUUCUUAUAUUGUUUAUUUAUGUUUUUCUUCUUCAUUAUGUUUAGCUAAGUUAAUUUUGUGAAGGUGAAAAGGGUACACUAAUGGUGUAAGAAUAAGUAUACUAUAAACUCAACAUGGACUUUAAUGUUUGAUACUAGCAUGUUUUGUAUUUGUUAUCUUACUCGUUCUUAAUACCUUGCUUGUUAAAUGGUUAAUCUAGAUUUGUGUUGUACAACCCUUGGUACAACAAAUACUUGACACUUUCAUAGCCUACUGUAUGGUACAACCGACACUUGUGCUAUGAAAGGAACUUGAUUUGUUGUUAAUAUAAGUUACACCAUGAAUACUUGACCACAUAUAUAAGUAUUGACAUUACUCAAAUAAGACAAUUAAUAUAUUCAUGUUAAUAAUUUAUAAUCCGAUUGAAACCUCCUUUGUGUGUGGUUUCCAGUUGAGUAAUAAAAAGAGUUUAUACUAUAUUUAUUUGAAAUACCAUUAGUGGAUCCUCUAACCUUGACAAUUGUUUAAUCCUUGUAUAAUCCUUACAUCAAUAUCACAUCUCAAAAGUUUUCUUCAACUCCUUUUCAUUUGUUGUUUAUAAUUUUAUAUAGUUCACCUCCCUGUGAUUCAACCCCGGUCUUGCCGGGUUAUUUAUUACUUCGACACUCCUGCACUUGGGAUAAGACAUCAAUAUUUUGAUCGUGUCGAUAAUGUUGUUUUUGCAUGAAAAUAAGUUGGAAGUUGAAAAGGAUUUCUAAGGGAUGAAAAUCCUCGUUGUCCAAAAUUUUAGCUAUAAAGGAGGGGCUAUUGUGAUUGUUGAUUUUAAGCCUUAAAACAAAAUAAUUUGGAGUUGGUUUCUUCAUAAAAGUUGUAUUUCUAUGUUUUAGCCUUUCAUAUAGAUAAAUCACGCCCAAAACUAAGUUUUACAGCUUUAGUUAUGAUUAAAACACUAGAUAGUGUUCUGGAUUGGUUAAGCUAAAUUGAUCGGAAGUAGACAAUUUUUAAUCUUUACUUGGAAUUGUUGUUGAGUGAUGGUUUUGAUAACAAAAUUAUAAGAAUGAAUAUAAAUAUGAAAAUGGGUAAGAGUAUGAGAUCCUAAAGAAAUUCAUUGUGAUUGGUUUGAGAGUACUAGUUGAAAUGAAAAUUAAAUAAAGUUGUGAUGUUGGUUGUAUUGUUGAUAAAAAAUUGAAUCCCUGGUCGUACAGAGGAAGCUAUGGGGACUGGACAAUUGCAUGGAGUGGAAGCAUAUGCACAUACUCUAGGUGGGUGCAUCACACCUUGUCUUUUUAAUUUGUGUAAACUUAUUGUUAAAUUUUACAAUUUAUUGUUUUAUUGCUUCGAUAAUAUUGGAAUGAAUAUAAGUACCUUGCGUGCUUUGAUGUGUAUCGACUAGUUAUGAUAUAAUUGAAAUGGAUAUGAGUAUUUUACAUACAUUAAUAUGUAUCAAACUUGUUAUGAUAUUGUUGGAAUGAAUAAGAGUACCAUGCAUGCAACAAUAUACCUCCAUUAGUUAGGAUGAUGUUUGAACGAAUAUGAGUAUCUUGUGUGCAUUGUUAUGUAUCGAAUUAAUUUUGUUAUUAUUAGGAUAAAUACAAUUACCUUACAUUGAUAGACAACGAAUUUGUCAUGAUAACCUUGGAAUAGAUGUAAUUAUCUUACAUACCUCAGUAUGGAUUGGGUAUACACAAUGACUUAGAGAUUAGGGGAGAAAUGAUAGAUAAUUGGUCACCAUAGUGUCGGUGGCUAAGGAUAUAUUCCAAUGAUACUUGACACUGCGAUGAGGGUGACCAAGGUUAUGUGAAUGAUGCUUAGUGGUCGUAGUGUUGAUAACUAAGUUUGUGUGUGAAUGAUACUUAGCAACCGUGUUUACAACGCAUAUGAUAGUAAAUAAAAAUAAAAAAGAAGUAAGGGGAUCGGUACGAAUGGAAAAAUCAGGUGACAUUGAUUAGCUAUCCAGGUUUGGAUAGCUAAUGGUAUCAAUGAGGUUUCAUUGGUACUAGCAUUUCAGACGAUAUUGAUUAGCUAUUCGGGUUUGGAUAGCUAAUGGUAUCAAUGAGGUUUCAUUGGUACCGACAUUUCAGAUGAUAUUGAUUAGCUAUCCGACUUUGGAUUGCUAAUGGUAUCAAUGAGGUUUCAUCGGUGCCGACAUUUCUUAAAUUGAUUAGUCGAUCCCGAGCAAUUGGGUGACUAAUGAUGUUAGUAAAGAUUACUAACAUCGGCAUGGUUACUCCUGGUUCUGUGAAAAAGAUAAGUUGAUUAAUUAUUCUGGGUUGAGAAUAGUUAAUGAUAUCAAUAGGUCACAUUGGUAUCGACAACCAUUUCUGGUGUGAUUAGCUACUCAAGGUAAGGAGGCUAAUGAUGUCAAGGGUCCCUAACAUCGACAACUUAGAUGGUAAACCAGAUACGAAUAAGAUUUGAUUAACUAUUCCGGGGAAGGAAUAGUUGAUGAUACUAAUCGGCACGUGAAUGUAAUUGACUAGUCUAGCCCAAUAUUAGAAGACUAAUGAUACUAAUGAGAUUUAUUAGUGUCGGCGAUUACCUUCUAGAAAAUGAAAGGAAAAAUGUUGAUUAGUUAUUCCAAAAGAAUGAGAUAAGCUAAUGAUAUCAAGAGAGAAAUAUCUUGGUAUAAAGUGAGAAUUAAUUUAUAAGGAGAUGGUGUUCGAAAAUCAUUGAGUUAUGUUGAGAUUUCCAAGAUGAAAUUAUUCUCAACAAAUGGGAAAUGAUAUUAAAUGGAUAUUGGUAAUAGAUAGAAAAUGCAUGUUGUAAAAGAGGUUUAUACCUAAUUUUAUGUAUCAAAAGAAAUUCUAUGGAGAUUAUUACCUAUCAUUGUUAUUGUUUGUUACUACCUUUUUAUAUUUUUGUGUACAUGUUAAUUUCUAUUUUCAGGUCCAUUAGGGUCGCGUCCAGAAUGAUAUUGGUUUAGUUACCUUUUUCUUUUGACCAUGUAAUUAUUUGUAAAUUAAGAGUCUUAUAUCCUAAAACUUGAAAUGUAAUAUUAAUUUGUAAAUUUGAAUGUAUGACUUUAAUCUAAUGUUUGUAACUCUAAGUACUUAUUUAACCAUGCAUGUUUAUAGUUGAAAUCGAAUCUUUCACUUGAAUUACAUUAGAUGAUGUUAUUGAAUAAGAUGUGUUGUGUUGAUGAUGAUUAGUUGGGUUGAGAUCCAGGACAAUUGGAUUGAGAUGUUAAUUAAAAUUGAAAGUGUAAUGUGAUUUUAUCGAUAACUUAGGACCUCCCAGUAUAGGGGAGACUCUGCCAAAAUUUUGGAGAAAUUUUGGUUGAACUUGUAUAUAAAAAAAAGAAAUUACCUGAAAAUUUUGAAUGUAUCGCGAAAAAGGAUGUAGAAAAUUGGGUUUGUUAUAGAAAAGGCCAUUGAAGUUUUCUACCAAGACUCAAACUUUUGAGAAAAGGAAGACUCCAUGAAGAAAAGGGGGACAUGUAUUUCUCAAGUAAGUAUACAUGCAUAUUGAUCAUAAUGCAUUGCUUUCAACAUUGACAGAUCGGUGUUUCACCAUCAACUUUUAGGUAGUGCGUUUUCUAACCCUAUCUCUUUUUAAGUGCGCUUUAGAGCCCUCAUCUCCUGUGUAGUGCGUUUUCUAACCCUAUCUCCUUUCGAGUGCGCCUUUGAGCCCUCACCUCCUUUUGAGUGUGCUUUUGAGCCCUCAUCUCUCGGGUAGUGCAUUUUCUAACCCUACCUCAUUUCGAGUGCGCCUUUAAGCCUUCACUUCUUUUCAAGUGCGCGUUUGAGUCCUCACUUCUUUCAAAAGUGCGUUUGAGCCCUCACCUUCAGGUAGUGCGUUUUCUAACCCUACCUCCUUUCGAAUGCGCCUUUGAGCUCUCGUAUCCCUUUGAGCCCUAUCUUGUCAUCUCUUCAAGACUCUUCAAAACAUCUUCCACUUGGGUAGGUCACCCAUUACAAUGAGACCAUCCUUUUUUCUGGGUAGAUCACCCAUUACGAUGAGACCACUCUUUUCUUUUCUCACUUGGGUAGGUCACCCAUUACAAUGAGACCAUCCUUUUUUGUGGGUAGGUCACCCAUUACAAUGAGACCAUUCUCCAUGUUUUUUUACGUGGGUAGGUCACUCAUUACAAUGAGACCACUCUUCCCUUUUCCCACUUGGGUAGGUCAACCAUUACAAUGAGACCAUUCUCCAUGUUUUUUUACCUGGGUAGGUCACCUAUUACAAUGAGACUAUUCUUCCACCUGGGUAGGUCACUCAUUACAAUGAGCCCAUUCUUCAACCUGGGUAGGUCACCCAUUAUAAUGAGACCAUGCUUCCACCUGGGUAGGUCACCCAUUACAAUGAGACCACUCUCCCCUUUUUUUUCACUUGGGUAGGUCACCCAUUAUAAUGAGACCACAUUACAAUUUUUUUUUCCAUCAGGGUAGGUCACCCAUUACAAUGAGACCACAUACAAAAUUCAAGUUAAAGGGAAUCCGAGAUGCGAUUUCAGUUUAACCCAACCAAAGACAGAAUUUAGAGGAUCGCCAUUAUCGGGAUCUCAAGAUAACCAAGUUAUAUAUAGCUUUGAUCGUUAGUGUUCGGUUGAAGGAGAUUGCUAUGAAGACAGGGUUUAAGAUCAACCAAGCUUUGAAGAGAUCAAUUUUGGAAUAUUUAAUUUUGUUUUAUCUUUACAAAACUUACUGUCAUAAUCCAUUUUUGGGUUAUUCCCCAAUUCACAUUUUUUUUCUCUCUUCAAAAAAAUAAAACACAAAAAAAAAUCAAAAAUAGUGUCAAAAAAAUAUAAUAGUGAAAAGAGGAUGCCAGAACGCUCAGAAAAUGGUUAAAAAUUGGUUGAGGAGGUUCAAAAAUACAAAGAUUGAAAUUUGACGGUAUUUUAUUGACUGAUGAGAGCCCUGUUGACAAAGAAAAUUCAAUUUGAGGAAGAAAAGUCCACAAUCAGAUGUUUAUGGACUCAAUUUAAUUUUAUUGAAGGUUUAAUUGAAUUUAUGAAGGGUUUGAUUGUAAGAAAAAUUGAUUUUGGAGUUAAUUUGGGCUUUAACUGGAAGAAAUUAAAGUUCUAGGUCAAAUUAUAAUUUUUGAGAGUUAAUUUGGUCAAAUCAGGGGCUUAAUUGCAUAAAUAUUGAAGUUUGAUUGCCAAUUAGGGACUUAAUUGAAGAAAUCCGAAACCAAGAACCAAAAUGAAAAACGCGCGUAAAUAGAGGGGCUGCAAUUAAACCGAAUCAGGGGUGAAAUUGAAGAAAUUAAAAGUUUAUUGAUCAAUUGAGGGUCAAAUUACAUAAAUUAAAGACCAGGGACCAAAGUGAAAACGGCGGCCAACUUCAGGGCCAGUGUUUGAUUUUUAGCAGGGAUGCAAUUGCAUUGAUUUUUAAAUCAAAAUUGCAAUUUAGGACUUGAUUGAACAAAUUACAAAUUGAAGAAUGAUUUGGACUUUGACAUAAGUUUUUGUCGCCUUUUCCUUUUAAAUGACACGACGCGUUUUGUCCAAAACGGCGCCGUUUAAUUCACUCUUCAUAAAAAAAACCCGAAACGGUGUUGUUUUGAACAGUACUCCAGACUUUCUUCUUCCCUUAGACGUGAAGAGAAACAGGGGAAGGAAGUUGCGUUCCCCUGUAUUUUCACCGCCUUUCUUCCUCCUUUUAGUUCAAAAGGACGCCGACCAAGGACCCCCCACUUACCCAAAAUUUUCCACGUGUUGGGGGGGCGGUGGAGGGGCGGCAGCACAGUGGCCGCCCUGUCCUCUUUCUCCCUUGUUUUUUUGCCUAUAAAAACAAGAGAAGAGAGAGCAAAAUGGAGGGACAACGAGAAAGAGAGGAGAGGAGAAGAGAGAGAGCAGAAUAGAGGGGGACUACCGAAAGAAAAAAAGAAAAAAGAAAAAGAAGCAGAGAAGAGAACAAAAAACAGAGAGAGAGAGAGAAGAAGAAAAAACAGAGCCAACGCCGACCAUCAUGAACCGCCAGCGUAGCUGCCUAUAGCCUCCAACAGCUCCGCCAACGAUAGCAGCCACCGUAGGUCAGCCCUUCUCCCUUUCUUUUUUCUCCUGCUUCAUCCCUGACACGCCUCCACUAUUCACGUAGCAUGUGAACAGUGGAGGACACUGUUCACACAGGCUAGGCUGAUCCCUUGUUUUCUAAUCCUACAUGGUUUUGUCAAAUUAUGGGUGCUCUUCAAUAUCUCACAUUUACGAGACCAUAUAUCUGCUUUGUUGUUAACAGAGCCUGUUAGUUUAUGCAUGCUCCUACAGAUUUUUAUAGGGGUGCCGUUAAACAAAUUUUGCGUUAUCUACGGGGUACGACCACCUAUGGCUUACAUAUCACUCAUAAUUCCUCCUUUGCUCUAUAUGGCUUUACAUAUGCAGAUUAAGUAAGUAGUAUUGAUUAUCGCAAAUCUACGAGUGGUUAUCUUGUCUUCUUUGGUCAGACGUUGAUUUCAUGGAAAUCAAGCAAGCAACGCAUAGUUGCUCGCUCCUCCACCGAGGGUGAGUAUAAAGCCUUGACAGAUGGUACUGCUGAGGCUAUCUGGCUUCAGUAUCUAUUGAGAGAUCUGCAGAUUCAUUCUACCUUUACUCCUACUAUUUUGUGUGAUAAUCUAGGCGCUACUUAUUAUCUGCAAAUCUUAUCUUUCAUGCUCGUAUUAAACAUGUUGAGGUUGACUAUCAUUUUGUACAAGACAGGGUUGCGAAGAAAGAGAUUCAAAUUCACUUUAUCUCCUCUUAUGAUCAACUUGCAUAUGUUUUUACUAAGCCGCUUCCUACUGUUCUGUUUACUGCUUUUCAAUUCAAGCUUUAGGUUGAUCCUCCACCCUCUCAUGUUGUAAUAUCUACCAUUACUAUUGUAUAUUACCCUACACAUAUAUAUAGAAAAGGUUGGCUAACCAAUAGGUUAAGCCUCCUAAUUAUUCUCAACUUGGUGGUUAGUGAAAAAAAAAAGAAAUUUCAGCUUGUUAUGACUACUGGAGACAUCGUGGGUGACUAAAGCUACUAGUAAUGAUAGGGUUGUCGCUGCCAGCAUUGAUGGUGACCAUUUGGUGAUGACAGUGAAAUGGGCGAUGGGUUUGUGUUUGAUGUUGGGAGGAGCAUCAUUUUUGGAGAAGAGAUAAGGGAUUCAAAAGAGUGAGGGAAAUAGGGGUUGGUUGGUGUCGAGGUUUAUGGUGGUUACAGAGGUUGCUAGGUUAUCGAUAGAAAGGCUGGGGGAGUGAGACUAGUUUGGGUUGGUGCUAGUCUAAAAGGAAAGAAGAAAAGGCAGUGAGUCCAAGGAAGAAGGUAAUCUUUGCUGGCUUCUAGGUUUCAGUAUAAUGGGGAUAGGUUUUUUUUUUUGUUUUUUUGGAUUGUGAGGAAGGAGUUAGGUGUAGGGGAGAAUGAAGAUGAUGAGUGUAUGGAAGAUGGAAUGGGUAGAUAUCACGUUUGUUUUUUCUUUCUUUUUUCUAGAGAGAGAAGGUUUGUUUCUACUUAUUUUUUGUUAGCCUCUUUAAAUAAUUCACUUCCUUUUUUUUUUUUGCUAAUGCUCUCUCCUUUUUUUUUGUGUAGUGUAACCAUCUAUUUAUAAGCAAAACAAGUUUGUUAUUUUAAAUCACUUGGUCUCCAAGCAAACUUGGUGACCAAGUUAACCCAAUAAUAAUCUGGUCCCUCAACUUCUUUCUUUUCACAUUUGUUCCUUUUGUUCAAUUUAUUUUUUUUUAUUUUAUUAUAUUUUGAUUUUUUUGAAAAAAAUCAAUAUCAAUGUCGACUUAAUAAGCGCGUUAACAUCUGAAUGCGUUGAAAGUAGAUUUGUUUUAUUUUAAAUUCUUUGAAAAAGACGCUGAAAAUUAUGCAAAUACUUCAAGAAUGCAUUUUUUAGUGUUUUAUUCAAAAUGGAGUAAAAAAUUGGGUAGCAACAAAUGCCCUCUCUUUACAAUACUUACAGAGAAAAGACUUGUUAAGUGCUUAGCGUAGUAAGUUUGUAAUGACAAAUGAAUUUUUCUUCCAAAACUAAUCUUCUCAAAGCUUUUAGUUUGGUUGAACUAGAACUCUAUUUUCGCAGCAAUCCCUUUCAACCAGAAAUUGUGUACAACUUGGUUAUCUUGAAAUCCUAAUCUGAUGAUUCCCUUUAUCCAAAAUCAAAAUUAUUACCAAAAGUUUGGUUAACCUGAGAUCCCAAUCUGGCAAUCCCUUUUAACUAGAAAAAAAAUCUGAAAAACAACUUGGCUAACCUAAAAUCCCAAUUUAGCGAUUCCUUUUAACCAGAACCAAAAUGUUACCUUCAACUCGGUUAACCUGAAUUCUAAUCUAGUAACCCCAUUUAACUAGACGAUUCCCUGUAACCAUAACAAAAAUGUUUUUUUCAGCUCAAUUAACCUGAAAUCUCAAUCAAGAGACCUCCUUUAACCCAAACCAAAAUGUCACCUUUAGCUUAGUUAAUCUGAAAUCUCAAUCUAUUAUUAUUAUUAUUAAUUUUCAUACACAAUUAUAUUUAUGAUUAUUAUAUGGUCAAUUUGUCUAUGUCAGAAUAGAAUCUGAGGCAACUUUUUGACCAAAAUUCCAUUCUCUAUUAUUCCUUCAAUAUUGGGGAUUAAUGCAAGCAACUCGUUUAUUCGGAUUUUGACCCAAAACUUUCUCGAUUAUUCGGAUUUCUUGUUUGGAUGAGGUGGUCAGGUUGCGUCACAUUGAUUAUGUCAUGUUACUGAAGUUAACUAGAGUAAGAAAUAAAGAUAUCAAGUAUCGAAGAGAAUCAAGAUCAGUUUAAGGAAAAAAUAAAAAAACAGAUUAUAAGGAAUCAGGUAUUAAAGAAUACAAGAUAUAUUGUUGGGAAUCUAUGAAGAUUUAACUUCCAUCAUUUUGUUGUCUUCCACAAUGAAUUUGGGUUAUCACAUGACAGACAUACUUGGAAACAUACCUAACUUGAAAGGAAUGGAUUGUUAAUGAUGAGGAUUCUUUUCACUAACAUUGUGUAUGAUAUGAAUCUCUACUACUAAAUGCAAUGAGAUGUGCUUUAACUUCCACCAUAUUUCAUUUUACUUCCUCAGCAUCCCACUGCCCUUGCCUUCUCUACAUAUUAAAAAGAUCCAUCUUCAAAUUAAGCUGAGAAGAUCCGGCAUGAGCUAAUUUUGUUGUUUUUCUUGAUUUUUCUAGAUUUCAUGUUUUAUUUUGAAUUUUUUGUUAUUUUCUAGGAUUCCAGUUUUAUUACCUAGUACGUCUAGGUUGAUCUCCUAGCCUAUCUAAAUAAAUUAUAAACCUUUAAAGAUGCAUACUAUAUUAGACUUUAUUACUUGGAGAAUAAAAACUUUGAAUUUAGGUUUUUUUUUACACUUUUUGAUCAAACUUUUUACGGGCUUUAUUGAAAAAACAAUAAGCAUUUUGACUUGAUUCUUGACUGGUAAAUUUUUUUGUUGUAUUUUUGGAGGUUUUGACGAAAACCGGGUAUUUUAAUACCAGAUUUGUAUUUUUUUCGAAAUGACAAACAAAAAAAAAAGACCGAGAUUAAACAAAACAGCGUAAAACAAUACACGCGGGGAAAUGGCAAAAUUAUAAACAUAUAUUUUUUUGCUGGGUCGGGCCCUGCCCACCAUUGUUGGGCUGUACCGGACUCAGCCCAAGAUCAAUGAGCCCAGCCCACAUCAGCUGGUUACGGUGCAUGAGCACAGUAACCAGCUUCACCUCGCCUGCAGAGACGUGCACCGCGCACGUCCUGCAUGUCGAGGGAAGAAACGAAAGCAAGAGGGGUGGAGGGUUUACCUGGAGAAGCCUUAGUCGUCAGUGAUGGCCAGAGGUGGCGGUGGUUCCAGGUAGCGGCGGUGUUGGUGGCAGCUCCUCCUCUGUUUUGUUCUUCUUCCUUUUUCUUUGUUUUUCUUCUCGUUUUUAUUUCUUCUCUCUUCCUCUCUCUGUUUUUUUUUUCUUUCUUACUCCUCUUCCUCUCUUCUGCUCUCUCUCUUCUCUUUCUGCUCUGCACUUUUUUUCUUCUUCUCCCCCUUGUCUCUUUGUCUCCCCUGUAUUUAUAGGAAAACAGGGGAGAGACAUGGCUGGGGCGGCCACUGUGUUGCCGCCCCAUGAUCGCUUGAGGAGGCACAUCUCCUCCGUUUCUCCAACACCCGGGAGGCCACGGGUCAGCUGAGCAAGAUAAAGUUUUUGGUCGGCGUCUUUUUGAAGGGGAAGGCGGUGGAAAACGCAGGGGAACAAAAGUUCCCUUCCCCUAUUUUCUGCACGUCCAAGGGAAGAAGAAGACGUAUGGUGUCGUUCAAAACAACACCAUUUUGGGUCUUUUUUUUUAAUGAACAAUGUAUGAAAUGGCGUCGUUUAGGACAAAACACGCCGUUUCAUUUAAAAGGAAAAGGCGGCAAAAACGUGUCAGAGUUCACAUUGGUCCUUAAUUUGUAAUUUGUUCAAUCAAGUCCUCAAUUACAUCCCUGCCAAAAAUCAUACAGCGGCCCUGAAGUUGGCUGCCUUUUUCACUUUGGUCCUUGAUGUUGAAUUUAUUCAAUUUGACCCUCAAUUGAUCAAUAAACUUCUAAUUUCUUCAAUUUCGCCCCUGAUUUGGUUUAAUUGCAGCCCCUCUAUUUACGCGCGUUUUUCAUUUUGGUCCUUGGUUUCGGAUUUCUUCAAUUAAGUCCCUAAUUGGCCAUCAAACUUCAAUAUUUAUGCAAUUAAGCCCCUGAUUUGACCAAAUUAACUCUCAAAAAUUAUAAUUUGACCCAGAACUUUCAUUUCUUCCAAUUAAAGCCUAGAUUAACUCCAAAAUCAAUUUUUCUUGCAAUGAAACCCUUCAUAAAUUCAAUUAAACCUUUAAUAAAAUUAAAUUAAGUCCAUAAACAUCUGAUUUUGGACGUUUCUUUCUCAAAUUGAAUUUUCUUCAUCAACAGGGCUCUCAUCGAUCAACGAUAUACUGUAAAAUUUCAAUCUUUGUAUUUUUGAACCUCCUCAACCAGUUUUUAACCAUUUUCUAAGCGUUCUGGCAUCCUCUUUUCACUGUUAUAUUUUUUUGAUAAUAUUUCUUUUUGUAUUUUUUGAAGAGAGAAAAAAUGUGAAUCGGGGAAUAACCCAAAAAUGGGUUAUGACAAGGACCAAACUGGAAAAGGCACGUGAAUAUAGGGGUUGAAAUUGACCAAAUCAGGGGCCAAAUUGAAGAAAUUGAAAGUUUGUUGAUCAAUUGAGGGUAAAAAUGCACAAAUUCAAAACCAAUGAUUAAAAUGAAAAAGGCGGCCAACUUUAUGGAUGACAUUUGAAUUUGGUAGGGAUGUAAUUGAAUUGAUUCCUAAAAUCAAAAUCUCAAUUAAGGACUUGAUUGAAUAAAUAAAAAAUUAAGGAUUGAUUUGGAAACAAGGACUUCUUAGGUGCCAUUUUCAUUUAAAUGAAACGACGUAUUUUGUACAAAAUGAUGUCGUUUCAUUCACUGUUAUUAAAAAAAAAAGAUGACAAAACUAAAAAACGAUGCCAUUUUGAUUGCACUAUACAUCUUCUUCUUCCCCUAGAUGCGCUGUAGGUAGGGGAAAAAGGUUUUUUUCCUCUCCUUUGCAGCGUCUCUAUCUCUCUCUCUAUUUCACUUGCCAAAAAACACCGACACAACCCACACCCCCUAUAGCCUACCAUCAAGAUGAAAAAACAGAGGGGACAAGCCUUGUGGGCGGCCCUAGGGUAGUUGCUUAGUAGCCACCCAACCACCCUACCCCUUUAGCAUGACUAGACAGGGGUAGGAUAGCUCUCUCUCCCCCUUCCCCUUAUAUAUACCCCCCUCACCAGGAGUAGGGGAGACGACAUAACAGAGAUGAAUAAAAGAGAAAAAAAGGAAGGAAAAAAAUGAAACAAAAGGAAAAAAAUAGAAAGAAAAAACAGGGGAAAACAAAGAGAGGAAAAGGAAGGGAAGAAAAAGAAAAACAGAGAGAAAAAAAGGAAAGAAAAGGGAGAAGAACACUCUUUGGUAUUACCUAUAAAGGAAAAGGAACUUCCCAGUUCCCUUUAAAUCUUUCUCCACCGACCAGCGAAACAGCUCCCCCAAUGCAUAGCCACCUCGGUUUGAAGAAGAACCAGCAGCUCCAGCUCCAGCUCCAGUAGGGAUGAACGCUGUCGCGCGCCACGGCUCAAUCGAAUGUAUUUAUUUAUAUAUUAUAAUAAUAAUAUAUACUACUAUAUAUGAAAUAAAAAAACAAGAAAUUCUAAAAAAAAACCUUUUGAAUUUUUUUGAUUUUCUCGUGUAUUUUUCUACCAAUUUUACUUAAUAUUGGUUUGUAUUUUUACACGGUAAAGAUACAAAUUCAGUAUUAAAAUACUUGAUUUUCUCUGAAAUGUUGCAAAAAAAAUAUAGAGAACAAAAAAAUAUAUCUUGUUUUCAUGCAUACGACCAUGUGUCUAAAAAAUGUAAAAAAUUCAUAUCAUAUUUUCAUACAAAAAUUUCAAGAAAAAGGUAUGUGUUAGCAUGCAUUUUGAACUUUAAUAACCAAUUUAUUAAAGCGAUGAGAACUAGGCCCAUAUUUCAAAAAUACCAAAAAACUAUUUUGUUUUCUUUUAGUAUAUGAGAUUAUUUUGUUUUCUUUUAGUUCUUUUUUUAUAUAAACAUUAGAACGAUUAGGUUUUUACCUGAUAUGAUGAGGAUAUCUUUAUCGAUGAGGACUUUUCUUAAACCUUAGACAAACCAACAAUUAGAAAACACAACAAUACUUUAGUUAUAUCAGACAAUUAAACAAUAUAGCUUACCUCAGGUAAGGCAUUUUAGGGGUGUUAAUACCUUCCCUUUACGCAACCAGACCAGUUAGGGUUCGUAAUGACCAAAAUACUAGGUGACGACUGUCAUUCUCUCUUUCCACUAAUAAAGGACAAGAUUGUCCUGUCCAUUUCCCCAUCCCAUUCUCAACUCCUGGAGGACGAUUGCUGCGACACCGCACCACGUGCGACAGUAGUUUUGAAAGAUUAAUGCAAGCGGAAGAACCACAAUAUAGCUGCAAGCAUAGAAAGACAGAAAGAUAGACUGGAAUUUGUUGCGAUGUCGCAGUCGCACAAAUUAAUUACCCUAGCUUAAAACACAACACACAAGAUAGUAUAGAGCAAGCAAGGGGUCAAUCCCACGUGGAAGGUUCAAGUCAGAUUUUUAUGCUAGAUGAUAUGCAAUUUAAGGGGGUUUGGACGUUAUCUAGGCUAAAGGAAAAGAAAACAGAAAACUAUCAAGCAAAAUUAAAUAAAAUCAGAAAAUUAUCAAGAGAACAAACCUUGGUUGCAUGUAAACAUCCACCUAUGGAAAUCAGAAUUGAUCAUGGAAACGAAACAUCAAUUUAUAUUCUGAAUAUUUAUCUCUUCUUAACAUUGGUUAGUUAACGGAUCCACCGUAUAACUAACCCUAACCAUCAAACAACCAUAGUGUCCACACUAGUAAUUUAAUUCAAUGGCAGACUUAAGAACUAGAUAAGUUGAUUAAUCAAGAAAACAUAUAUAAAUGUUCGCAGUCUAUGUUUGAUUUGAUUGAAUGUUCUCCCUAAGAUUAAUAACGUAGAUCUGCCACAAUUAUUAAACUCAGUUGCUUCAGAAGUUCAUAUACCACAACUCCGGUUUUGAUAUCAAACUUAGCAAUAGAUUGUCUACAAUAAUAACUUAGAGUUCGCUCUAGCAAUUAAAAUAAACAAUCAUAGGAAAAAUAAGCAUAGGAGAACAAACAUAUUCAUCAUAUAAACUGAAAAGAAAAGGUAAAAUAAAUCUCACAAUUCUUGAAAUCCGAAGGUUUUCGUGUCCUUGCAACUAAGAAAACUAGUUUAGCCUUGCAUGUUUGUUGAACAACUAAUAAAAAAAAGGACGGAUGCAUGAUUUCAGGUUUCUUAGAGGAAGGCGGUGUUUUUCUCUUCUUCGCUGGCUGCCCCCCUACUCUUCUCUCAUUCUUUUUAUACCCUAGGAAACCCUAGUCUUUAUUUUACAAAAUAGUCCUCCUUUAAGUAGACAGUUUACAUUUAAGUACUUCAAUAACUAUUUUCCUAAAAAAAGGAGAAAUAGCCUUGCAUGAAAUCUUCAAGCUUUGACUUAGAGGAGAUAAAUUGCUGAAAUAAAAACUUGGAUGUCGGUUUAGAUGCUUUGGAACAUAAUUUGGACUCGUUUCUUCACGAAACCUAUUUGCUGGCAGAAUUCAGUUGUCAUCUUUGAAAAAUCAUAUCUCCCUAAUAUGACAUCGUUUUCUGCUACAAUUUGGUGCGUUGAUACGUCUUUUAGUCAGAAAUCGAAAAAAAUUGAGUUUGCAUCAAUUUGGACUUCUGUAGCUCCAGAUAUUCAAGUUCGAAUGGAUAAAGGUCAACAUUGGCAAAUUGCGAGAUUUGACUUUGAAGGCUGUGAUUUCCAUGCUCUUCCUUAUUUUAUUUUCUUGCCUUAUAGGUCCAGAAAGAUAUGGAUGUUAUCUUUUUAUUGUCACUAGAAUCACUUCAUUUCGACUGCUAUAGCUCACGCACUGCACAAAACAUCGACUGAAAGUCUAAUCUGCCAAUUACCUCCAAUUUACUCCUUUUUGCAUCUUUCAUCCAAAAGUGCCUUCAAAACAUAAAACAAAGAAUAUCAAGGCAUUUUAUAUAUAAAACAUAAGCAAAACACUAGUUAAAUGUGGGUGAAACUAUCGAAUAAUAUGGUUACAUCAGAAUUAUGUUAACUGUGUACUUAAAGGAGGACUAUUUUAUUUAUAAAAUAUUAAUUGGAUCAAGUCUACCUCCUAAAGAGGUUUACAAUCCCUUUUAUAGAAUAGAAAAUCAACCAAGAUUGGAAACAAAAUCAGAAUCCCAAAACAUAAUAAGAAAUAACAUAAAAUAUGAAAAGAAACAAUAAAUCUAUGAAAAUUAAGGAAAAAUAACAAAAUUAUCCCAAAUAAUAACUUAUGAGCUUGAUUUUUGGAGAUCCAAUGCUCUGAUAACUACUGAGUGGUUUUUAAUGGGAAAACAACUUGUAGAAUCUCUUGUAAAAAUUUGCACCCAAUCCUACGGUUAGAUCUCUUGUUAUCGUCAUUUUAGGCCGCUACUCUCUGGUCUUGCGUGACCAUGCUUUCUAUUGAGUCUAAACAUGUGUCACUAGUUUAUGAAAAUAUAUGUUAGACCAUCUAUAUAGUCUGUUUAGGGCAAAUACAUAAUUAAUUUGCUGUUCAAAUGCUCUAAAGCUCUUCAAGGUGUGAUUUAACUAAAUAAUUUUGAGUUUAGAAUUAUCUUCUCAUUUUGGAAUUGUCCUGAGCCACAAGGAUAAAAUGAUGAGUCGUGGGGAGCUUCUUAGAUUGUUGUCCUGCAAGCAAGAGUAUAUGACUUUACUAUAUUACUAUAAAUAGCAUAUUUGCUGUUGUAACCCAUUUUUGGGUCCCCACAAAAUAUAUAUAUAAAAAAUAUAUAUCUAGCCAAAGGAGGUUAGAAAAAUAACAGGAGGUAGAAGCGUUCAGAAAAUGGUCGGAAAAUUGGUCAAUGAGGUUAAAAAUACAAAGAUUGGAUUUUUGACAGUAUAUUCUUGAAGGAGGAGAGCCCUGUUGGAAGAAGAAAAUUUAAUUUGAAGAGAAGGCCAAAAUUGGAUAUUUAUGGACUCAAUUGGAUUUUAUUGAAGGUUUAGUUGAAUUUAUAGAGGUUUUGAUUGCAAGGAAAAUUGAUUUUUAAGUCAAUUUAGGCCUUAAUUGGAAGAAAUUUAAGUUCUGGGGCCAAAAUAUAUUUGUUAGGAAUUUAUUAGGCCAAAUCAGGGGCUUAAUUGCAUAAAUAUUGAAGUUUAAGGGCCAAUUGGGGACUUAAUUGAGAAAAUCCAAAACCAGGGACCAAAUUGGAAGAGGCGCGUAAAUGGAGGGGCUGCAAUUAAUUGAUUCAGGGGCUUAAUUGAAGAAUUUGGAAGUUUAUUGAUCAAUUAAGGGUUCAAUUGCAUAAAUCAGAGACCAAGGACUAAAGUGAAACACGCGGCCAACAAGAGGGGCAGAGACCGAAAUUGGCAGGGAUGCAAUUGAAGAAAAAAAGAUAAUUGAGGGCUGCCUUGCAAAUUGACGCGUUUUGGCGUUUUGCAGGACUUAAAUGAAACGGCGCGUUUUGCCUAAAACGACGCCGUUUCAUGUGAAAAAAAAAAAAAAAAAGACCGGAACGGUGUCGUUUUGAACGACACUGUUCAUCUUUCUUCCUCCCCUGGACGUGCAGCAGGGGAAGAAAGAAAAAUGGUGGGUUUUUUUUUUCUUCAAGUGUGCUGCCUCUCUCUUGACCGCAUGCCUUGCCAGAAAACCGAGGGAGCCGCACCUCGCCAGCCACGCCCGCUGGCCGACCACCCGCCGCGCGCCUACCCGAAAAACAGGGAGCGGAACCUCGACAGCUGCACCCAAAUGGCCGACCAACCGCCGCAGCCCUUGUUCCCCAUGUGCAACCAUAAAAAGCCCCGCCCCUUGGCUCUAUAAAUAGAGGGAAGAACACUGAAGGAGAGAAGAGAAAACAGAGGAGAGAGGGGGGAAAGAGACCCGAAAGAGAGAGAACCGAAGAGAGAAAGGAAAAGCUAAAAAGAAAGGAGAAAAAACCAAAGAGAGGAGGGAACGAAUCGAAAAGGAGAGGACCCGAAAUAUAAGAGGGGAAAGCUAGAAACGGAGGGAAAAACUUGAAAAAAACAGUAACACUGCCGUUCGGUUGAGACAGCAGCACCACUGCCGCCGUUCGUGAGCCACCGGCCUCCGCCACAGCACCGCCUCCGGCAGCAACAGUACCACCAGCUCCACCGCCUCCUCCGCGCCAGGUAAUUCUUCUUCCUCCCUUCAUUACUGCAUUUUUUUUUCGUUCCUGCAUGCAGAACGAAUAACGUUCUGCAUGCAGAAGGGUGGGGGGAAAAUAAUUCCCCCCGCCAGCGUUUGUUGCUGGGCCAGGCUGGUCCUGGCCCAGCCCAGUCUUCUGGGCCGGGUCUGGCCCAGAAGAGGAUAAUAGUAUUUGGGCCGAAAUCGGCCCAAUCCAUUUUUUGGGCCGAGAUCGGCCCAACACUUUUGGGGCUGAGUCCGGCCCAGUUGUUUGGGCCGGCCCAGCCCGAUUUAAUAUUAUAUAUUAUAUAUAUUAUAUUUUGUAUUACUUAUAUAUAUAUGUGAAAAAUUACAAAAAUUACACAAAAAAAUUAUUUAAAAAAUAUGUGAUUUUGUUGUAAUUUUAUUACAGUAUUUUGAUUAAUAUUGGUUGGUAUUUUUAUACUCUAAAGAUACAAAAUCCAGUUUUAAAAUACCCGGUUUUCAUCAAAACAUCAAAGAUUUUCAAAAUAAAAAAUGUCUUUUGCUUUCAAAAAAUUUCUAAAAAUAUCUUUAAAAAUAUUGUUGAUUUUUCUGCAUUUGUUUUAUCAAAGUGGAUUAAUAUUUGGUUGUAUUUUUAUACUGUAAGAAUACAAACCCAGUAUUAAAAUACCCGGUUUUCGUCAAGACAUAAAAAAUAAAAUAAGUUAAAAAUGUUUUGUUUUCGUGCAUACGGCCUAGUCUCUCUAACAUAUAUAUAUAAAUAUUAUAACAUCAUAUUUUCACACAACAAAAGAAAUUUCAAAAAAAAAAUAUAUGUAUUAGCAUGCAUUUUGGCUUUAAUAACCAGUUUAUUCGAGCCAUGAGAACUAGGCCAAUAUUUCAAAAAUUCUAAAAAAAUCUUUUUGUCCUCUUUUAGUACAUGGGAUUACAAAUUUAAACAUAAAAUGUUUUCCUGAUAUUAAAAAUAUAGUUUUUUCACAUAGACGUUAGAACGGUUAGGUUUUACCCGAUAAGAUAAGGACCUCCUUAUUGAGGAGGACUUUUCUUGAACCAUAGACGGACCAACAUACAUAGAUGUUAGAACGGUUAGGUUUUACCCGAUAAGAUAAGGACCUCCUUAUUGAGGAGGACUUUUCUUGAACCAUAGACGGACCAACAUACAUAGAUGUUAGAACAGUUAGGUUUUACCUGAUAAGAUAAGGACCUCCUUAUUGAGGAGGACUUUUCUUGAACCAUAGACGGACCAACAACUAGGAAACACAACGAGACCUUGAAUUUUAUCAGACAAAUAAACAAUGCAGCUUACCUUAGGUAGGGCGUAUUUGGGGUGCUAAUACCUUCCCUUUACGCAACCAGUCCCCGUGCCCAAUCUCUGAGACCAGUUAGGGUUCCUAGUGACCAAAAUACUAGGUGGCGACUCCCACACCAUUUUUCACUGCUAAGAGACAAAGAACUCCUUGUCUCACCAUAUUGACCAGAUAUAUAUCCCCCCACCAUACACAUUCGAGGGUGGACGAUCGCCGCGACGUCGCGCACGUGCGACAGAAUGGCGACUCCACUGGGGACCUUGUGGACUAAGCUUUGUUUUUGUCUGAUUUGUUUUUGUUUUUGUGUGUUUAUUGUUAAUAUGCCUUUCCUUUUGUUAUCUGCUUAUAUGCUUUAAAUAUUUUUACACAUAUUGUUCAUGCAUUUGUAUAGAACUGUCUCAUACAUCUUAUAGAACUGUCUCAUGCAUCACAUACUUUGAUUAUUGAGAGCACACGCAAACUUUAAGUUAAGUGGGGGACUAGCAGCUUACCUUACGACUGUUAGUCAAGGUUUAAGUUUGUGUAAACCCCAACUCUUCGCUGAGUGCUUAGACUGGCAAUAGUUGGUACAUGUGCCAUCUUAUUGCCUACAAGCCCCCAUAUUGCCUCCACGAGGGCAAUCACUGGGACAGCAAGAGACCUUUUUUAGAGACUGAAUAGCCAACCUACCCUCGUCAAGCACGAAAGAUUUAGAACCGGCUAUAGGGUGUAUGUUCCAUAAAGUACAUUUUGCAUAAAACAACCUAAACCAUAAAGUAUUUGGUUUUCAGGUCUUUUGAAACGAUAAGAUGGCCAUCAUUACCAAAUUUACUACUAUGGAAUAUGGGCAGAAUUCUGAAUUGUCAGAGGGAGACUGCUCUAGAUAUGAUGCGAGGAAGCUUCCAGUAGUCAAAGACCUGAAUUGCACAGUAUAUGAGAUGAAGAAAAUAUUGGGCCAUAAUCAGAACAUUGAUGAAGCGGCAUUUUGCGGGAAGUAUGGGCGAUUGUUGGAAAUUGCAAAGAUAGAAGUAUUGAACCCGGCAAUCAAAGCUUUGAUUAACUUUUGGGAUCCCGAUUACAGAUGCUUUUCCUUUGGAAAUGUGGAUUUGUGUCCCACUAUAGAGGAGUAUGGAAUGUUGACGGAAUUUCCCAAACUCCUACACAGGGUUUAUUUUCCUUUGAGAAAUGACAAGGUGAUUCCUGAGUUGUCAACAUUGUUGAAGAUUCCACAUCUGAGCAGAUUUUUAGAGAAGAAUGGUAGCGGUUUAAAGUGGAAAUUUCUGGAGGUUGAACUAGAAAAGAAAAAAGAGCAAUACGGGUCAAUGUUAGAAAGAGACAGGUUAAUCGCUCUGGGGAUCUAUGGGCUCGUAUUAUUUCCAAGCUUAAUAGGGAUUAUAAGCCUAGAAGCUGCUGCUGCAUUCGUGGAAUAUGAAAAUACUCAUGUCAACCCCACAACUGCCAUAUUAGCUGAGACCUUUCUGACCCUCAAUCAUUUUAGAAAGACGGGGAAAGGCGCAGUGCGAUGUUGUACUCAGUUGUUAUAUAUCUGGAUGGUAAGCCAUGUUGAAACCAAGAAGCCGAUCUUUAAUAAUUUUUGGUGGUUUAACCAAAAACCCUUGAAGAUAAUGGAGGAAGAAGAAUGGGGAAUCCUAGGUGAUCAAGGUUGGAUGAAAAAACUGCAAGAAUUACCUAGUAGCAACUUUAGUUGGAAGGCCCCUUGGGUUAAAUCAGUUGAUGUCAUAGUAAGUUGUGGACAAAAAUGCUGGGUACCUUUAAUUGGGAUCACAGGUUAUGUCAGCUAUGCUCCGGCUCUGGUGAUAAGACAAUUAGGUGGCAUACAACACAUCCCAAGAACUGUGGGACUUGCUGAAUUUUCCGGAUUUUUCAAGGAUCAAUCCGCGCGAGAAGUUCUUGAAACCAUCAAACAAGAUUGGAGCCAGUUGACUCUAAUUCAAAAGGAGUCGGAAAGAUUGAGAGACCCUAGCUCAAGUGAAGGAUAUGAAAAGUGGAGGAAUUUGACCCCGAUUGCCACUCCAAAAAAGCCAUGUCCUGAAGAUGGGCCUUCACGAAUGGAAGAAGGGUCAUUGAAAAGAAAAAAGGUCAGUAAUGAGGAAGACCUUAGGGAGCAAUUAGAAAGGCUCCAAAUAGAAUUGGGAAAGAGUAAGGGAGAUAAAGCAGCAUUAGAAAGGAUGAUGAUGGAAGGAGAUAAAAGCAGAGUGUUUUUAAAUGAACAGCUCGAAUCCAGAGAUGCGAAAAUAGUGAUGUUAGAGCUGCAAUUGAGCAAGGGAAAGGCUGUAAUAGAAGAGUCCGAGAAAGAAAGAGGAAGAUUGAUUUUUGAUUGUAUGCAAAGCAGUUCGGAGUUGGAAGCAUUGAAAGCCGACUUCGAUGGCUAUCGAGAGAAUGUUGAGUACAAUCAGGACAAAUUCUUGCAUGUUCAAGCAGAGUUGCUGGACCGAAUUGAGAAGUAUGAAGAGUUAAACAAGAAAUAUAUGAUGAUAGAAAGUCGGCUAGCUGAAUUGCAAGAGUUCGAAAGAAAAGGGAAGGAAGAGGAGGUUUUUAAAGCAGAUUUGGCAGCUAAGAAAAUUGAAAUUAGGACGCUGAAGUUGAAGUUUGACAAAGCACGAGAAAAGGUGAAACAGUUGACCCAAAGGUUGGAAGUUUCAGAAAAACAUAAAGAACAGAUCGACACCAACAACAAUACCUUGAAUCGGAACAACAUGUUGCUUAUAGAGAAGAUGGCCAAAGUAGAUGAGCAAAUGGAUGAAGCUGCCAUUCACGCACGGAUUAUUAGAGCCAAUGCUCGAAGGGUGGGAAGGGACAUCUUUCGUUAUCGACAAAGCUUGGCUGAGACAGAUGCCUUCUUAGAGAAGAUUGAGAAUCGAGGCCUCACUUUCCUACCAGUGGCUAGAAAUACGGAUGAAGAGGAAGAUUGAUGUAUUUUUCUUUUUAUUAUUUUGUACCCUCUUUUCAAGAGAUGUAUUAGCCAAUAUUAAUGAAAAGGGCCUUUGACCCAUCUUUUGUAAAAAAAUAUAAGCCUACCAAAGCAACAGCUUGAGCAAAACUACUCCUGAUAAGGAACGUGACAAAAGGAGUCCAUGUCCAUUACACAAGAGGAAUGUUGGCCAUCGAUCGUUUUUUUUUUGAAAAAAAAAAAAAAAAAAAAGCUCAUGCAUCCAUGCAUUGUUUCUUUAUCAUACAUUCAUUUACAUUUUUCCAUGCAUCCCAGACCGUGAAACAUAGGUCCCACAUCCAAAGUCCACAACACCCGGUCUAGAGCGAGAAUGGAGAACGAAGAGAGAGCUCACUUGGAGUCACAUUAUCAGACCGAGUUGGAGUCCGUAAAGAAUGAAGUUUCUCGGCUAACCAACUUACUUGAGCAGCUUCUAAGAGCUAAAAAUGGGGAGGGAACAUCAGCACAACAGCCUGAAGGAGCGCCAGCAGCUCACAUCCCUCAAGCAUCUCAAAACCAGGGGGCAAACUCGGCCAAUGAACAACAUUUUGUGCCUAUCACCCCUGUCCCGCCAACUCACGCUCCAAUCACUGUGGAUUUAACAACGGAGGGAGUCCCAGAAAAUAGGUCUCCCAGUGUGAUGGACCAAGACAAGCUAUUUGCUCUGGAAGAAAGAUUAAGGGUCGUUGAGGGUAAUGAUUGGUUUGACCCUAUGCGAGCAGCCGAAGUAUGUUUGGUACCAAACAUUGUGGUGCCAAAGGAUUUUCGAAUACCAGAGUUCGUUAAGUAUACCGGUUUGGAAUGCCCAAACACUCACCUGCGAUCCUAUUGUAACAAAAUGGCGGAAGUAAUCCGUGAUGAUAAGUUGCUAAUCUAUUUCUUUCAAGAUAGCCUAGCAGGAUCCGCUUUAAGCUGGUACAUGAGGUUAGACAGCAUCAGGAUCAAGAGCUGGAGAGACUUGGUGGAGGCUUUCCUCAAACAGUACAAGUUUAACAUGGAAAUCGCUCCUGAUCGAACAAGUCUAAUGGCAAUGGAGAAAAGGAGCCAGGAGUCAGUAAGGGCUUAUGCGCAAAGAUGGAGGGAUGAGGCAAUGCAUGUCCAACCCCCUUUGAUAGAAACGGAGAUGGUGAGCUUGUUUGCCAAUACCUUCAAAGCACCUUAUUAUGAGCACCUAAUGGGUAGCUCCUCUCAACAUUUUUAUGAUGCGGUACGCAUAGCUGAAAGGAUAGAACAAGGGAUUAAAGUUGGGCGAAUAGCGAUGCCAGUGGAAAAGAAGGGUUUUAUUGGAAGAAAGAGAGAAGGCGAUGUUAACAAUCUGGAAGGUGGGUACAAGGGCAAGAGAGUAGAUUUUCAUAAUCCUCAAGUACCUACCUCUCAAUUCUCACGCAUAAACUUUAACCAACCUUUUUCCCCUAAUCGAACAAAUAACCAGUCAAACUACCAAAAUCACUACCAAAGACCCCAUACAAAAUACACUUCAGAACAACUGCCACCGUUACCCAUGCCUUUGAAGGACAUGUAUGCCAAACUGUUGAGCAUUGGACAAAUAGCUCCUAUCCCUACACUACCACUACAACCACCAUUCCCAAUUUGGUACAAGCCCGAGUUGGCUUGCGAGUACCAUGGGGGUAAUCCCAGGCAUGGGAUUGAAACCUGUUACGCUUUCAAGAAGAGGCUAUUGGAGCUUAUUAAGAUGGGAUGGGUAUCCUUUGAAGACAAGCCCAAUGUUAAUUCAAACCCAUUGCCUAAGCAUGCCCCAAAUAGUAGUGGAGUAGGCAUGAUCGAAGUGGGAAAUCAAUGUAAGGUAUUGAAGGUAUCCAUGAAGAAGUUGUAUGACAUGUUGGUACAAUCAGGAUUUCUAAAGACAAAGGGGGAGAGCCGUUUGGAGGGAUAUGAUUACUGUGAAUACCAUGGAAGAGAUGGACAUCAUAUUGAGGAUUGCAUCGAGUUUUGCGAAAAGAUUGCGAAAAUGCUAAAAAUAGGGGAGUUGAGGAUUGAACCCAUGAAAAGCAGCGGUGAGGUGAGUAUGAUGGAAGGUCAAGAUGAGAUGACAGGAGUAUGUAGGAUCCAACAAACAGCUAAGGGGCCACCAAGGCUAAUCUUGGUCAAACCUUCUUGCACAAAAGGAAACCACAAUGCCAUGCAUUACAAUUACGACUAUACCUCCAACGUUCAAACUCCACUUCCCUUGUUCCAAACCGAGAUUAGUGGUUUGACUCGGAGUGGUCGUUGCUUUACGCCCGAGGAGUUGAGAAAGGCAAAGGGCAAAGAAGUGGUAGAUCUUGACAAAGCACUAGAAGUUAAUAAGCCAGUAACAGAAGAGGAGUCGAAUGAAUUCCUGAAGUUGAUCAAGCAUAGUGAAUAUUGCAUAGUAGAUCAACUAAAGAAGACUCCAGCUAGGAUCUCCCUUAUGUCCCUGAUACUCAGCUCUGAGCCACAUCGAAACGCCUUGCAGAAGGUAUUGAAUGAGGCAUAUGUACCCCAAGACAUUGAACAUAAAACCAUGGAGCAUCUAGUGGGAAGGAUCCAUGCAACUAAUUACCUGUACUUCACGGCUGAUGAGCUUGAUGCUGAAGGUACCGGACAUAACAAGCCCUUAUACAUUACGGUUAGGUGCAAGGACUGCCUCAUAGGAAAAGUACUCAUUGAUAACGGCUCGGCCCUUAACGUGUUGCCAAAGCACAUGCUGGAAGAAAUGCCGAUCGAUGAAUCCCAUAUAAAGCCAAGUACUAUGAUGGCCAGAGCGUAUGAUGGCUCGCCUAGGCCAAUAAUUGGGACUUUAGAAGUGGAGCUAUGUGUGGGACCACAAAUGUUCUUAGUAACACUUCAGGUUAUGGAUAUCCACCCUUCCUAUAGUCUGUUGUUAGGAAGACCUUGGAUUCAUGCAGCGGGGGCAGUAGCUUCGUCAUUGCAUCAAUGCCUGAAGUAUAUCAUGAAUGGGAUGUUGGUAACUGUCAAGGCUGAGGAGACAGUAUCCAUGAUAAAGAAUGUGGUUGUGCCUUUUAUCGAAGCGAAUGAUUGCAAGGAUAACAAUAUCCAUACCUUUGAGAUUGUGAACACUGACUGGGUGCCGGAGAACACAGUGCUAAGAAGGCCAAGGAUCUCAGAAGCAGCAAGGAUGGCAAGUCUAUGCUUCUUGAACCGCGGGAUCCCAUUUCAGUAUAACCUUAUUAUCGGGAUACCAGAAGGGGUUAAUCUGGCAAGGAUGAAAAGUGCUGCUCAAAGAUUUGGGUUAGGGUACCAACCUAACCAAAAGGAUUAUCGGUGGGCUGCUGGUCGGAGAAGGGCAAGAAGGAUGGCUAGAAUUAAAGGAAGAGAGCCUGAUGAAGAAAAGCUGGAAAUCCCUCCCCUUAGCGUGUCAUUCCCAAAAGCCACAUACAUAAUGCAACAUGAUAAAGGAGUUGAAAGCCUUGGUCAAGAACUGUCAAACAUGGGCAUAAAUACCUUGGGGGAAAACAAGGUGGAAGGAGAUGACAUGAAGACCGUAGCAAGAAAGGGAGAUGAAGCACUCCCACAACUGACGGUAUACACCAUAGAAGAAGUCUCCGCCAAGACCUUUGUGCGCAAGUUGGCUCAGGACGAGAAGUUUCAGAACUGGGUGACCCAAGAAGCUCCAGUGGUUUUCAAAAUGUAAACCAACUUUGUUUGCCUUAGCAUGCUUUUGUCAUUGCUUAUGUUUGCUGUUAUUUCCUCUAGUUGACAAUCGAGGCUCAUGAUGUCAGCUAGAUUUUAUGUUUGUCAUGGAGCCCACUUUUUCUUUAAAUAAAUUGUGAGAUCAUGCACUUUCCACAAAUUGCCUUCUUUUUUAUGCACCAAACACUUCCCGCUUUCAGGAAUCCUGAAAGCGGAUCUCCUACAACAUCACAUAUAUUUAGCAUCAAGAAUAAAUGGCCAAACUUGAACGAGCAUGUGAUAGCUAUGGAAGAAGAAGAAUGGGAUGAAAGCAAUAUUAGUGAAUUCACCAGGCUAGUAGAACAACAGGAACAGACUUGGAAGCCUAUCGCCGAGGAACUCGAAACCAUCAAUGUGGGUAGUGAUCAGCUCAAGAAAGAGUUGAAAAUAGGUACCUUAAUUACUUCUGAACAAAGGAUAAAAAUGAUCACCCUAUUACAAGAAUAUUCAGAUGUCUUUGCUUGGUCCUAUGAAGAUAUGCCGGGUUUGGAUACAAAUAUUGUAGUACACAAGAUACCGUUGGAAGAAGGUUGUAAGCCAGUCAAGCAGAAGCUGAGGAGGGCCCACCCAGAUGUCUGGAUCAAGGUCAAGGCAGAACUUGAGAAGCAAUGGGAUGCUGGCUUCCUAGAAGUAGUUAGAUAUCCACAAUGGGUAUCUAACGUUGUUGUGGUGCCUAAGAAGGAGGGGAAGAUUAGAGUUUGUGUGGAUUUUCGGAAUUUGAAUAGAGCUAGCCCUAAGGAUGAUUUUCCCCUACCACACAUAGAUGUUUUAGUGGAUAACACUGCCCGGAGUUCCACUUAUUCCUUUAUGGAUGGUUUUUCAGGAUACAACCAGAUAAAAAUGGCUCCGGAGGAUAAGGCGAAAACAACUUUUGUCACACCUUGGGGGACGUUCUGCUACAAGGUCAUGCCAUUUGGAUUGAAGAAUGCAGGAGCAACCUAUCAAAGAGCAAUGGUGACUUUGUUCCACGACAUGAUACACAAGGAAAUUGAGGUGUAUGUAGACGACAUGAUUGCCAAGUCUGAAAGGGGAGAGGAUCAUGUUGAAGUUUUGAGGAAGUUGUUUGAGAGGUUGAGGAAGUAUGAACUAAGGCUUAAUCCUGCAAAAUGUUCAUUCGGAGUUAAAUCGGGCAAGCUGUUAGGAUUUGUGGUAAGUGAUAGGGGUAUAGAGGUGGAUCCAGAUAAAGUAAGGGCCAUCCAAGCUAUGUCAUCCCCUAAGACGGAGAAAGAAGUAAGAGGAUUCUUGGGAAGGUUAAACUACAUUGCUCGGUUUAUAGCUCAGCUAACAACGACGUGUGAACCUAUAUUCCGACUACUAAGGAAAAAGAAUCCUGGAACCUGGAAUGAGGAGUGCGAGGAGGCAUUCAGUAAAAUCAAGCAAUAUUUACAAAAUCCACCUUUACUGGUUCCUCCGGUAUCAGGAAAACCUCUAGUACUAUAUCUAAUAGUAACUGAAGCAGCCAUGGGAUGUGUAUUGGGUCAGCAUGAUGAAACCGGAAGGAAGGAAAGAGCUAUUUAUUAUCUAAGCAAGAAAUUCACUGAAUGUGAGUCUAGAUACACGGAGAUAGAAAGGCUUUGUUGUGCGUUGGUGUGGGCGGCAAAGAGGUUGCGGCAUUAUAUGUUAUACUAUACCACUUGGUUGAUUUCAAAAGUGGAUCCUCUGAGGUACAUUUGUAACAAGCCAUUUCUCUCAAGUCGAAUUGCAAGGUGGCAAGUUCUAUUAGCAGAAUAUGACAUAGUAUACAUGACAAGGAAAGCCGUAAAAGGAAGUGCAAUCGCGGACCAUCUGGCCGAUAAUGCUGUUGAAGAUUACGAACCUUUGGAUUUUGACUUCCCCGAUGAAGAUAUAUUGUCAAUAGAGAAAGAAGAAGAAAAGACAGAUUGGUGGACGAUGUUUUUUGACGGUGCAGUGAAUGUAUAUGGUAACGGGGCCGGUGCGGUAAUAAUCUCUCCUGAUAAGAAACAGUAUCCAGUUUCGGUUAAACUACAUUUCGAGUGCACCAACAAUACAGCUGAGUAUGAAGCUUGUAUCCUCGGUUUAGAAGCGGCAUUAGAGUUGAAGAUAAAGAAGUUAGAUGUAUAUGGAGAUUCAAUGUUGAUUAUCUGUCAGGUUAAAGGGGAAUGGCAGACCAAGGAGGAAAAGUUGAGGCCGUACCAGGAAUACCUAUCCACGCUAGCAAAGGAAUUUGAAGAAAUUAGAUUCACUCAUUUGGGAAGGGAGGGGAACCAUUUCGCGGAUGCUUUGGCCACGCUAGCUGCUAUGACUACCAUUGAUCUCAAGUGCAAGAUACAACCGGUACACAUUGACAUUAGAAAUGACCCAGCUCACUGUUGCUUAGUUGAAGGAGAGAUAGACGGACAUCCUUGGUAUUAUGAUAUCAAGAACCUUGUGCAAAAUCACGAAUAUCCGGUGGGAGCUUCCAAAACGGAUAAGAAAACUUUGAGAAGGUUGGCUAUAGACUUCUAUUUAGAUGGAGAGAUUUUGUACAAAAGAUCAUUUGAUGGGACCCUACUAAGGUGUUUGAAUGAGGCAGAUGCUAGAAAGGCAUUACGGGAGGUCCAUGAGGGGAUUUGCUCAACCCAUGCUAGCGGGCAUAUGAUAGCGAGGAAAAUCCAAAGGGCUGGUUAUUUUUGGAUGACACUAGAGAAAGACUGUAUCGAUUAUGUCAGGAAAUGUCAUAAAUGUCAAGUUUACAGUGACAAGGUCAAUAUGCCACCAGCUCCUCUAUUUAAUCUAAUAUCCCCUUGGCCAUUUGCAAUGUGGGGAAUUGACGUGAUCGGGCCUGUUAACCCAAAAGCUAGCAAUGGUCAUAGAUUCAUCCUCGUAGCUAUUGACUACUUCACAAAAUGGGUAGAAGCUAGUUCAUAUGCCCACGUAACACAGAACGUAGUGAAGAGGUUUAUAGAGAAGGACUUGAUUUGUCGAUAUGGUCCACCUGAAAAGAUAGUGACAGAUAAUGCACAGAAUUUCAAUGGCAAAAUGAUAGCGGAGCUGUGUACUAAAUGGAAAAUCAAGCAUUCGAAUUCUUCACCAUACCGACCAAAGAUGAAUGGCGCAGUAGAAGCCGCCAACAAGAACAUCAAGAAGAUUAUUCAGAAAAUGGUAGUCACAUAUAGAGAUUGGCAUGAGAUGUUAUCAUUCGCUCUUCACGCAUACCGCACUACAGUCAGGACCUCGACAGGGACUACCCCAUAUUCUCUGGUAUACGGUAUGGAGGCAGUGAUGCCGUUGGAAGUGGAAAUCCCAUCGUUAAGAGUAUUAAUGGAUUCCGAACUAGAAGAGGCUGAAUGGGCCAAGGUGAGAUAUGAGCAACUGAACUUGAUCAGCGAAAAGAGGAUAGCUGCAAUAUGUCAUCACCAACUUUACCAGAAACGAAUGGCCAAGGCAUAUGAUAAGAAGGUUAGACCGCGAUUGUUUCGAGAAGGGGAUCUAGUAUUGAAGAAAAUAUUGUCACUACCUGGAGACGAUCAAAGCAAAUGGGCACCGAAUUACGAGAGUCCUUACGUAGUAAAGAAGGCAUUCUCAGGAGGAGCGCUGAAGUUAGCUAGAAUGGAUGGAGAAGACCUAGUUCGACCUGUGAAUUCUGACUCUGUAAAAAGAUAUUAUGCUUGAUGUAGACUCCUAAAUCAAUAAAGCAAAGUUUGGCCAUUGACUUCUUUCUCUUUUGCAUUGAUCUCCCAACAAUCAUUUUUUUGCAUUAAUCCCAACAGUGCAUGUCUUGUUAUCGCACCUAAAAAGUUUAGCAUCGGCUGAACGAAUUUCUUCUCUAUACAAAAGCCCAGACUAGGAGCACACCCCUACACUGGGGGGCAAUACGAGAUGUUUUCAUGAAAAGCUUUACGUGUUUAAAAUGUACGUAAGCCUAUAGAUUUGAAAACCAAGCUAGAGUAUUUGACAAAAGCAUGACAAAGAGGCAAUGACAAGUUAUACAUUUUGGAAAAAGGACCACUUGAAGAAUAUGAUAGGAGGCAACACGAGAGAGGAAUCCAACAUACGAUUUCAAAAAGCAAGCUUAUGUUAAGAGGGAGUCUCAUGAACUAGCAGAAGAGGAUGGGGCCUAUGUUUCAAAACCAGGUACGAAUGCAUGCAUGGCAUCUAAUCAUAAAUCAUUGCAUAUAUGUUUUUUCUGGAUCGUUACAGGAGGAGACCUUAAUGCAUUCCAACAAGAUUGGAGACGAAGAAAGAAUCAUAGAGGAUGAUAGCAAAGAAUCACGGUUUUGAACCAUAGUGGAUUAUGGAACAACGAGAAGAACAAGAAAAAGAGAGAAUGAAAAGUUUUGAACCCUGUCAUCAGGAAGAACGACAUCGAUAUCAGCUUUGGUAGUAAGGAAUCGCCAGAUGGGAUUCCAAGUUGUUUGAGAUCGCCAGAAAGGAUCUCGUGUUUCGCUAAUUGGAGGUCGCCAGAUGGGACCUCGUGUUACCUGUUGAACAAAAGGAAUCGCCAGAUGGGAUUCCAAGUUGAAUAAAGGAGAUCGCCAGAAGGGAUCUCGUGUUUCACUAUUUGGAGGUCGCCAGAUGGGACCUCGUAUUACCUUUUGAAUAAAAGGAAUCGCCAGAUGGGAUUCCAAGUUUGAGGAGAUCGCCAGAAGGGAUCUCGUAUUUCGCUAUUUGAAGGUCGCUAGAUGGGACCUCAUAUUUCAUGUUUGAACAAAAGGAAUCGCCAGAUGGGAUUCCAAGUUGAUUAAAAGAGAUCGCCAGAAGGGAUCUCGGGUUUCGCUAUUUGGAGGUCGCCAGAUGGGACCUCGUUUUUCAUGUUGAUUAAAAAAAGGAAUCGCCAGAUGGGAUUCCAAGUUGAGGAGGAUUGCUGUAAAAGACAAGUUUCAGAUCAAUCAAGCUUCAACCAAACCAGUUUCGGGAGUUCCGUUUUGGGUUUAUCUUUAUAAAACUUAUUGCGCAAAACCUCUGCUCCGUAAGCAUUAUAAAGAGGGGGCAUCUGUUGUAACCCAUUUUUGGGUCCCCACAAAAUAUAUAUAUAAAAAAUAUAUAUCUAGCCAAAGGAGGUUAGAAAAAUAACAGGAGGUAGAAGCGUUCAGAAAAUGGUCGGAAAAUUGGUCAAUGAGGUUAAAAAUACAAAGAUUGGAUUUUUGACAGUAUAUUCUUGAAGGAGGAGAGCCCUGUUGGAAGAAGAAAAUUUAAUUUGAAGAGAAGGCCAAAAUUGGAUAUUUAUGGACUCAAUUGGAUUUUAUUGAAGGUUUAGUUGAAUUUAUAGAGGUUUUGAUUGCAAGGAAAAUUGAUUUUUAAGUCAAUUUAGGCCUUAAUUGGAAGAAAUUUAAGUUCUGGGGCCAAAAUAUAUUUUUUAGGAAUUUAUUAGGCCAAAUCAGGGGCUUAAUUGCAUAAAUAUUGAAGUUUAAGGGCCAAUUGGGGACUUAAUUGAGAAAAUCCAAAACCAGGGACCAAAUUGGAAGAGGCGCGUAAAUGGAGGGGCUGCAAUUAAUUGAUUCAGGGGCUUAAUUGAAGAAUUUGGAAGUUUAUUGAUCAAUUAAGGGUUCAAUUGCAUAAAUCAGAGACCAAGGACUAAAGUGAAACACGCGGCCAACAAGAGGGGCAGAGACCGAAAUUGGCAGGGAUGCAAUUGAAGAAAAAAAGAUAAUUGAGGGCUGCCUUGCAAAUUGACGCGUUUUGGCGUUUUGCAGGACUUAAAUGAAACGGCGCGUUUUGCCUAAAACGACGUCGUUUCAUGUGGAAAAAAAAAAAAAAAAGACCGGAACGGUGUCGUUUUGAACGACACUGUUCCUCUUUCUUCCUCCCCUGGACGUGCAGCAGGGGAAGAAAGAAAAAUGGUGGGUUUUUUUUUUCUUCAAGUGUGCUGCCUCUCUCUUGACCGCAUGCCUUGCCAGAAAACCGAGGGAGCCGCACCUCGCCAGCCACGCCCGCUGGCCGACCACCCGCCGCGCGCCUACCCGAAAAACAGGGAGCGGAACCUCGACAGCUGCACCCAAAUGGCCGACCAACCGCCGCAGCCCUUGUUCCCCAUGUGCAACCAUAAAAAGCCCCGCCCCUUGGCUCUAUAAAUAGAGGGAAGAACACUGAAGGAGAGAAGAGAAAACAGAGGAGAGAGGGGGGAAAGAGACCCGAAAGAGAGAGAACCGAAGAGAGAAAGGAAAAGCUAAAAAGAAAGGAGAAAAAACCAAAGAGAGGAGGGAACGAAUCGAAAAGGAGAGGACCCGAAAUAUAAGAGGGGAAAGCUAGAAACGGAGGGAAAAACUUGAAAAAAACAGUAACACUGCCGUUCGGUUGAGACAGCAGCACCACUGCCGCCGUUCGUGAGCCACCGGCCUCCGCCACAGCACCGCCUCCGGCAGCAACAGUACCACCAGCUCCACCGCCUCCUCCGCGCCAGGUAAUUCUUCUUCCUCCCUUCAUUACUGCAUUUUUUUUUUCGUUCCUGCAUGCAGAACGAAUAACGUUCUGCAUGCAGAAGGGUGGGGGGAAAAUAAUUCCCCCCGCCAGCGUUUGUUGCUGGGCCAGGCUGGUCCUGGCCCAGCCCAGUCUUCUGGGCCGGGUCUGGCCCAGAAGAGGAUAAUAGUAUUUGGGCCGAAAUCGGCCCAAUCCAUUUUUUGGGCCGAGAUCGGCCCAACACUUUUGGGGCUGAGUCCGGCCCAGUUGUUUGGGCCGGCCCAGCCCGAUUUAAUAUUAUAUAUUAUAUAUAUUAUAUUUUGUAUUACUUAUAUAUAUAUGUGAAAAAUUACAAAAAUUACACAAAAAAAUUAUUUAAAAAAUAUGUGAUUUUGUUGUAAUUUUAUUACAGUAUUUUGAUUAAUAUUGGUUGGUAUUUUUAUACUCUAAAGAUACAAAAUCCAGUUUUAAAAUACCCGGUUUUCAUCAAAACAUCAAAGAUUUUCAAAAUAAAAAAUGUCUUUUGCUUUCAAAAAAUUUCUAAAAAUAUCUUUAAAAAUAUUGUUGAUUUUUCUGCAUUUGUUUUAUCAAAGUGGAUUAAUAUUUGGUUGUAUUUUUAUACUGUAAGAAUACAAACCCAGUAUUAAAAUACCCGGUUUUCGUCAAGACAUAAAAAAUAAAAUAAGUUAAAAAUGUUUUGUUUUCGUGCAUACGGCCUAGUCUCUCUAACAUAUAUAUAUAAAUAUUAUAACAUCAUAUUUUCACACAACAAAAGAAAUUUCAAAAAAAAAAUAUAUGUAUUAGCAUGCAUUUUGGCUUUAAUAACCAGUUUAUUCGAGCCAUGAGAACUAGGCCAAUAUUUCAAAAAUUCUAAAAAAAUCUUUUUGUCCUCUUUUAGUACAUGGGAUUACAAAUUUAAACAUAAAAUGUUUUCCUGAUAUUAAAAAUAUAGUUUUUUCACAUAGACGUUAGAACGGUUAGGUUUUACCCGAUAAGAUAAGGACCUCCUUAUUGAGGAGGACUUUUCUUGAACCAUAGACGGACCAACAUACAUAGAUGUUAGAACGGUUAGGUUUUACCCGAUAAGAUAAGGACCUCCUUAUUGAGGAGGACUUUUCUUGAACCAUAGACGGACCAACAUACAUAGAUGUUAGAACAGUUAGGUUUUACCUGAUAAGAUAAGGACCUCCUUAUUGAGGAGGACUUUUCUUGAACCAUAGACGGACCAACAACUAGGAAACACAACGAGACCUUGAAUUUUAUCAGACAAAUAAACAAUGCAGCUUACCUUAGGUAGGGCGUAUUUGGGGUGGUAAUACCUUCCCUUUACGCAACCAGUCCCCGUGCCCAAUCUCUGAGACCAGUUAGGGUUCCUAGUGACCAAAAUACUAGGUGGCGACUCCCACACCAUUUUUCACUGCUAAGAGACAAAGAACUCCUUGUCUCACCAUAUUGACCAGAUAUAUAUCCCCCCACCAUACACAUUCGAGGGUGGACGAUCGCCGCGACGUCGCGCACGUGCGACAUUUGCUUUGCUAUUGGCUUAUGCUUAAAUAGAUUGCAGGAAUCGAAACAUGAGGUAAGCUACAUUGUGUGGUUUGAAAGUGGUUGAAAGGCUUUGAUAGGUUCCUAAAUAGUGGUAUAUCUAUGGCUUAAGAUGAGGAUUUAUUCAUGUAAAUAAAUCAGUUUUUUUUAAUUUAUUAUGGGCUCGUAUGCCCAAAUGAAUUCUUAUGAAAAGUAUCCAUAUAGGUGUCCUAACAAGGUUCACCUAUCUUGGAAGGUAGAAGGGUUUUUUCACAACUUGUGUAUUGUGAUGAAAAAUACUUCCAAUUAAAAUUGGUGAAUAUUUAAAAUAGUUAUGAGAAUUUUCUGGUCAACUCCUGAUAUUUAAAUACCAGCCUAUUUGUAGGUCCAACAUUUAUACCAGAAAAUUGACCAUCAAUUCUCAUGAAUUCAAUAAAUCAGUUAUUAAAUCCAAAAUGCAUGCAAAUAUAUAUAUAUAUAUUUGAAUUGUGUAUAAAAAUACUAAAACACACCAUGUAUUUUAUUUUUUAAGCUAGAUAUUAUUAUUUAUUUUUGAGAGACUUGGAUGUAUGGUAUUUAAAAUAAGAUUGUAUUUUUGAAAGAAGAGAUUUUUUGUUGUUUUUGUAAAAGGUAAAAUGAUUCGUUUGAAACACUCAAAAUGCCUCGCAUGUAGGUCACAAUUCCAAAUAUUAAAAUGGUAAGAAAAUAUGGCGAACUCAAAAUUAAUUACAAGAUGAUCUUCCAAGGAUUUUGAAAAUGGAUGAAGACAUUGUUUAAUAAAACACAAGUUAAUUAAUUUUAUCAAGGCUAUUUUUACCAUGAUAUUAAUUCAAAACAAAAUAUCAUUCAUUAACUUGAAGCCGAGCAACACCAAAAAUCCACUUGAAUCUUAUUAAUUUCACAAACUUUGUUCAAAUUGCAUAUUAAUCCAAACAAAUCAACAUAAACCCAAACAUAAUUCAUGCAUCAAUAUAUAUUUAAUGUCCAAAAAACAAUAACAAUCUAAAAAUAAAGUUAUAAUUCACCACAAAUAUUCAAAUUAUUUCAAAAAUCAAUGACACACAUCAAUCCAAAUUAAAAGUGUUCAACAAUCCGGAAAAAAACACAAUAAUAAGCAUUUUUUCCCAAAAUUUCACAACAUUAUAGCAAUUUGUCCAAAAAAAUAUUUUAAGGUUAUGAAUCGACAUUUCUUGGUGUUUAAUGUGUCAAGGUAUAUUGCAAUAGACACUAGAAGAUCACUAGAAUAAGUGGCAGCGCGUGUACCACAUGACACUACCACUUUCGGCGCGUGGACGCGCCACUACCGGUGGAAGAGCAUGUGCUGUUGGAUCUGAAACAGGUCUUCUCUUUGCUCUUAGUUGAGAAUAAUUGGGAGGCUUAACCUAAUGAUUAGCCAACCCUUUCUAUAUAUAUAUGUAGGGCAAUAUACAAUAGUAAUGGUGGAGGUUACCACACAAGAGUAUGUCUACAAUAUUUCCUAUAUACAAUAUUUCCUAUAUAAGUACAAUUUAUAAUAUGCCCCCUCAAGCUGGGGGUGGAGGAUCAACCCGAAGCUUGAAACGAAAAGCAGUAAACGAAGAAGUAGGAAGUGGCUUAGUGAAGACAUCGGCAAAUUGAUCCUAGGAGGAAAUAAAACGAAUCUGAAUCUCCUUCUUUGCAACUCUAUCUCGGACAAAAUGAUAAUCGACCUCAACAUGUUUUGUGCAAGCAUGAAAAACAGGAUUCGCAGACAAAUAAGUGGCACCAAGGUUGUCACACCAGAUAAUAGGAGCAGAAGCAGACAAAAUCUGGAGAUCUGUUAAUAAGUACUGAAGCCAGAUAACCUCAACAAUGCCAUCAGCUAAGGCUUUGUACUCAGCUUCAGUAGAAGAGCGAGCAAUUGUGCGUUGCUUACCGGAUUUCCACGAAAUCGGCGUCUGACCAAAAAACACAAGGUAACCACCCGUAGAUUUAUUGUCCUCAACACUACCUGCCCAAUCUGCAUAUGUAAAACCAUGUAAGGCAAAAGAAGAACUGCGAGUAAUAUGUAAGCCAUGUGAUGUCGUACCCCGAAGAUAACGCAAGAUGCGUUUCACGGCAGCCCAAUGAGAAUCUGUAGGAGCAUGCAUAAACUAACAGACUCUGUUAACAGCAAAGCAAAUAUCUGGGCGCGUAAAAGUGAGAUACUGAAGAGCACCCAUAAUUUGACGAAAGAGGGUAGCAUCAGAAAACAAUGGAUCGGGCAUAAUGGUAGCUUUGGAUGUAGAGAUAGGAGUAUCAACAGGUUUGCAAGAUAACAUACCAGCCCGAGUGAGGAUGUCAAGUAUAUAUUUAUGCUGGCGGAGCAUAAGACCCAUACUAGUAGACUGAACCUCAAUACCCAAAAAAUAAUGAACAGAACCCAAGUCGCGAAGCUUAAAUUCUGAGCUCAUUAGCUGAAUGAGGCGUUGGAGCAGAAAAGAGUUACUACCCGUAAGCAGAAAAUCAUCAACGUAGACCAGAAGAUAACAAAUAUCAACACCAACAGAGAAGAUAAACAAUGAGGUAUCCACCUUAGAGGCACGAAAACCAAUAGAUAACAGGAAAUCAUUCAGACGAGUGUACCAAGCCCGCGGAGCCUGUUUUAAACCAUAUAGAGAUUUAUGCCAUCGGCACACAUGAGAGGGGAGAGCAGAAUCAACAAAACCUGGAGAUUGUUUCAUGUAGACCUCCUCAUCAAGAACACCAUUGAGGAAGGCAUUAUGGAUGUCAAGCUGAUGAAUUUUCCAACCACACGAAACUGCAAUGGAGAAGACUAAUCUGAUGGUCGCCUGUUUGAUGACUGGACUAAAGGUUUCAGAGUAAUCAAUACCUUCUUGCUGAGUGAAACCUUUAGCAACCAUACACGCCUUAUACCUCUCGAUGCUUCCAUCAGAUCUGCGUUUAAUCUUGUAUACCCACCGACUACCAACAACAUUCAUGGAGGGGUGAAACGACACUAAGGUCCAAGUUAUGUUUGCGCGUAAGGCCUGAAUUUCCUCACGCAUAGCACUAUGCCACUCCUCAUAUUUGUUAGCAUCAUUAAAAACAAGUGGCUCACGAGAGGGAGGAGAAACUACCCGGCUGAAGGAGACAGCAGAGGUUGCGGCAGUGGCUGUGGACAACGCUGUCUUGGGCUGCCUUGGACGAAGAACCAUGGGAUGUUGACGAGCAGCUGGGCAUGGAGAAGUGUGACCUGUACCUGGAAGAUGCUGAAGAGGAUAUGAGGAGAGGUCUACACAGAGCUGCAGACCAGCUGAAGCAGUGGAGGGACUGGUCUGCACUGUAGACACUGGUGAGGCUGCUGCAGAACUGGGAUGAUCUGCUGCAGAACCUGGCUGCUCUGUUGCAGCAGACCUGAGAACAUGUGCAUCCGGUGAUGGAGAACCUGUUCCUGCAUAAUGAUCAUUGGAAAGACAAGCAUAUGGUGACAGUAUGGCAAUGUGGGAUGGUGAUGAAGGGGUGGUAGAAUCUAUAGGCAAAAGGGUAGGCUGGUAGGGUGCGGCAGAGGGUAGAAUUGGGUUGUGGUUGGGGCCGGUUUGGUAAGUAGUAGGCUGAAAGGAUGGAGGAGGGUUCAAGGAUGGAAGAUAGGUAGGUGGGGUGGGAGGUACCGGUGAGGAUGUUACCUGUUCAGACUUCAUAAAAGGAAAGAUAUUUUCAUGAAAACGAACAUGACGGGAGACAUAAAUACGAUCAGACUUUAAGUCAAGACAACGAUAACCAAGAUGAGAUGAGCUAUAACCUAAAAACACACAAGGAGAAGACCGGAAAUCUAAUUUAUAAGCAUGAUAUGGACGCAAAAAGAGAAAACAAAGACACCCAAAAGUAUGUAGAAAGUUAUAAUCAGGAGUGCGUCGAAACAGACACUCAAACGGAGAUGUAUUUUGGAGAACAAGAGUAGGCAUGCGAUUAAUAAGGUAGACUGAUGAUUCAAAAGCAUAGUUCCAAAAUCGCAAUGGGGCACUACACUGGCCUAAAAAGUUUAGGCCAGUUUCGACUAUAUAUUGAUGACGACAUUCAACAGUGCCAUUUUGUUCAUGAGUAUGAGGACAAAUUAACCUAUGAUGAAUACAAAUGGUCUGAAAAAUUUUAUUUAAUUUACGAUAUUCACCGCCCUAAUCAGUUUGAACAGAUUUAAUUUUAAGAGAAAACUGACGCUCAACAAGUGUUUGAAAACGUUGAAAAGUGGAAAAAACAUCAGAUUUCGCAACAAGCGGAUAAUACCAUAUAUGUUUGGUAUGCGCAUCGACAAAAAUAACAAAAUAGAGGAAGCCAUCAGAAGAAAACAUAGGGGUAGGACCCCAAACAUCACUAAAAAUUAAUUCAAGUGGGGCAGAAGUUUUGUGAGCCGUAGGUCGUAAUGACAAACGGGACGACUUUUCUAAAGGACAAGCUUGACACUGAGUAAGAGAACAUUUAGAAGUACAUACGAUUUUAUUGCUGGAAACUAAUAAAUUGAAAAUGCGAGGGGUUGGAUGACCCAAACGACGAUGCCACAGGUCGGCUGUCGCAAAGAUGCAAGGAGACCGAAAAGCUUGAGGAAUUGACGUGGCAGAAGACUCGGAGAGGACAAAAGGCCAUCAUGACUCUGACCGGAAAGGAGAACUUCCUUGGUGACGAGAUCCUUCACAUAAAACAUAGAAGUGUGAAAUUUAAAAUAAACAUGAUUAUCACGAUAGAAUUUUUGAACAGAUAACAACAGUUUGGUAAUGUGAGGCACAUGGAGAACAUUAGAUAAUGUAAACAUGCGUUUUGGGGAAAGUAAUUUAGUAUGUCCAAUAUGGGAUAUGUCAAGGCCCUUACCGUCACCAACAUGCAAAUAAUCAUUACCAAGAUAGGGUGCAGAAUCGGUCAGAGUUCCAAGAUCAGGUGUGACGUGUUGAUUCGCGCCGGUGUCGGGGAACCAAGUCGCACCAGAGAUAUUCCCAACAGCAAGAUGAGUAGAGGGCUGCUAAGAGCUGCUACAAAACUGGGAACAAUGGGGAGCUGUGUGCCCAAAACUGGAGCACAAUUGGCAGCGUACAUGCUGCUGUCCAGACCACUGCCCAGCAUUGGAAUUGCGCCUAGUUUGCUGCCAGUUGUUUGGCCGCCAAUCUGCAGCAGAGUGGCCCCUAUUCUGGGGAGUGGAACGGUUGUUGUGGGGACGCCAAUUACCUCUAGAGCGACCCCUGUUGCAGCUGAAGUUGCGGUUGUGAUGAGACAUAGCAUGGUGUGCAGAAAACUAUGGUGUUGGCAGCAGAGAAGAAGAAGACAACAGAGAGGGAGCGACAGUCAUGGAAUGGUAAGAGUUCUUGUGCAGAAAUUCAUGGGUAAGAAGGUGGCUGUGAAGAUCAGCGUAGGAUAGCGGUUCUGCCUUGGUUAUGAGACUCGUUACCAAGUCUUUGAACUCACCACGAAGGCCACGAAACACAUAAAGAUUGAAAUCUUCAAGAGACAUGGGGCGACCAGCAGUAGCCAAUUCGUCAAAUAACGAUUUGGCUUGCUGCAUGUAUAGACUAACCAAUGAGUCACCUUGCCGAAGGUCUUGAAAGGAGUCAUGGAGUUGCAUGAUGCAAGAAUUAGACGGAGAGGCAAGCGCUUUCUCAAGAGUGCGCCAAACACAAUGCGAAGUAGAACAAUCUACCACGAGAUGCAACACAUCCACGGAGAGAGAGGAGAGCAAAGCACUCAAAAUAAGUUGAUCCUGUUGCUUCCAACAAAGAAAAGAAGGGCUGAUGAUAGAGGAAGAACCAGCAGAGCUGUCAAAAAUAUGAGAUGGAGGACACGGCACUAAGCCGUCAACAAAGUGAAAAACACCUUGACCAAGGAGAUAUGGCUUCAUCUGCAUUCUCCAAUAGAGAUAAUUUGUGUUCGUAAGUUUUAGCGAAACAACUUGGUGAGUGUUCGCUAAAGGAACAAUAGUUGUAGUGUGGGUUCCCAUGAGAGGUAAAGGAACGGCAGGGACUUGGAAGGAAGAAUCAGAGACAAGCUCUGCAAGUAGAGGCUGCUGUGGGGAAGAAAAGGCACCAGUGGCAGCAGCAUGGGGAUGGUUGGCCGACUGUGCUGCACCACCUGUGGAGAGGGAGAAGUCGGCAGCAGCAGUAGAAUCCAUGUAGAGAAAGUAAAGAGAGGGUCGGCUGCAAAGGGAGGAAGGGAGAAAAGAGUUUGACGGCAGAAAGCUCUGAUACCAAGUUGAGAAUAAUUGGGAGGCUUAACCUAAUGGUUAGCCAACCCUUUCUAUAUAUAUAUAUAUAUAGGGCAAUAUACAAUAGUAAUGGUGGAGGUUACCACACAAGAGUAUGUCUACAAUAUUUCCUAUAUACAAUAUUUCCUAUAUAAGUACAUUCUAUAAUACUCUUAGACUGACAGUGAGACAAACGGAUGUCUAAAGGUAGAGAUCUGCUCGAUCAAAGGUCAAUCCUCUUCUCUUUUAUUCUUCUCUCUUUCAGCUCUCUCUACCGUUUCUAAACAUUCUGAAGAGACCUGGUGUUCACGGUGGGGUUUUUGGUUACAUGGAGAAGCUAUUGGGAUAGUUGUGACGAGUUGCUCAGCUGCGAUGAUGCGUGGCAGAAAAUGACAUCAACAACUGGUAGUAUGUGAUGAGCAGAACCUGGUUUUCAAUUUCAAUUUAAUGAAUCAAUGAUCAUUGAUUAGAUUGAUACCAUUUCCCAUUCUUCAAGUUCCCCUACAAUCUCCAUUAUUUGUAAUUAAAAAACUUCAAUACGGAAAAGUGGUGAUGUAUACAAGUUUGAAAAAACUUUCAUUAAAAGAAUGAUAACUUAAGUGUUUUUGUAUAACUUCUUAGACAAGGAUGAAAUACAUUGAGCAAUUGCAUACAAGUGGAUUUGUCAAAGCAUGAAAGCCGUUCAAAAGAGAGCCGUUCAGAUGGAAUUACCGGAUUUAUUGGUAACUGAGGAAGGAUAACCAAAUUUAUGGGUAAUUAUAUGAGCCGUUCAGAUGUGUAGUAUGUAAUGGAUGUAUUAUAUAUUUGUAUAGAUGUUAGUAUGGCUAAAUCAUUUUCAAAAUGAUAAGAUAAGUUUAUAAUAUAAAGUAAUAGAAUACAUUAGAUGUUUUAAGACAAUAUGACUCUUAAUCUAAAUAUUGUAUUCAUGUAGUCUAAAUGCAUAUAUGUAGUUAGUUUGCAUUUAUUACUCUUUAGUGAUGAAAUUGUUUGUCUUUCAAUUUGUUUUAGUAAUUCUUUUAUGUUGACUUAUUAAUUGAUAUUAUGAGACUUGAAUAUAAUAAUAAGUAUAAGUUUUGAGAGAUUGAUUGAUGAAUGGGAUGUGAUUCAGGAUGAUUGGAUUAAGAUGGAAGUUGUAAUGACAUAUAAUAGAAGUGUUGUCGAUAAAUUGGCACCAACAAAAAUAGAGGAAACUUUGGCGAACUUUUCAAAAAAAAUUUAAAAAUCUAUAAUCUUAGACAAAUUAUUCAAUACUUAACAUUCGUAAAGAAACGUUUAAGAUUUCAUGACAUUAUAAUUUGAGGAUGUUAUAGUUUGGUACUAAGACAAACCAUGCAUUUUAUUUUUUAAGUAAGAUAUGUUUUAUUUUUAUUUUUGGGAGACUUGGUCGUAUGUUAUUUAAAAUAAAAUUGUAUUUUUGAAAGAAGAGAUUUUUUUGUUGUUUUUGUAAAAGGUAAAACGAUUCGUUUAACAUCCAAGAAGCAUCUCGUGUGUAAGUCACGAUUUUAAAUACUAAAUACGUGAUGAUUGGAAAAUAUGGGGAACUCAAAAUUAAUUGCAAGAUGAUCUUCUAAAGAUUUUGAAAAUGGAUGAAGACCGUGUUUAGUAAAACACAUAUAAAUUAUUUUUAUCAAGGCUAUUUUAACCACGAUAUUAAUUUAAAACAAAAUAUCGUUCAUCAACUUGAAACGAGCAACACCAAAAAUCCACACGAAUCUUAUUAAUUUCACAAACUUUGUUCAAACUGCGUAUUAAUUCAAAGAAAUUAACACAAACCCAAACAUAACUCAUGCAUCAAUAUUUAAUGUCCAAAAAAUAAUCACAAUCUAAUAAUAAACUCAUAACUCACCACAAAUACUCAAAUCACCUCAAAAUCAAUAAUACACAUCAAACCAAAUUAAAAGUGUCUAACGGUCAAGAAAAAAUACACAUUAAUAAGCAUUUCCCUUAAAAUUUCACAACAUUAUAGCAAUUGUCUGAAACAAUAUUAGUAAUUAAAAAACUUCAAUAUAGAAAAGUGGUGAUGUAUACAAGUGGAUUUGUCUAAGCAUGAAAGCCGUUCAAGAGAGAAGGAGUUACCAAUAUAUAUUCCUUUCUCAUCUCUCAAAUAUAUAUAUUUCUUAUCACUUUAUUCAUGAACUCUUGAUUAAUCCGAAUUCUAUGUCAUAUGCGUAAUCUAAUUUUGAAAUGAAAUAUUCUUUCGCAUGAACCGGCUAUAAUAUUCAUGUAAAAAAGCAUCAGACAAUAUCUUACCUGCCUUGCCACCGCCAGGACCUUAAAUCCAGACCUUUGCCUACCGCAUUAAUUGACAAGAAUAUUUCAAGCAUUUAGAACCUUAAAGAUACCAACACAGCAUUGGGGUAGAUUUUUCAUAGCAUGAAAAAUUGGUAUUAAUAAGAACUUUUUUUUUUCCUGGUCCUGCUCGAUUUGGAAAGGGGUCCUUGAGGAUCCAAUUUGGAGUAUCUUGUGGGUUUAGUCAAAAAGGUCAUUCUCAGUCUUCACACUUCAUGCACAAGGAAAGAAUAUGUUUAAUUCGUCAAUCGACUCAUAGCUAACUCUGUAACAAAUGUUUGGGAUGAAGGGAAAAGUAUAGAUUUUUCUCAUUAGAGAAAGAAACUGCAUAAAAUGUGAAUGCUGUAAUUAUUUUCAAAGAACUUAACCAUAAAUCCACCCUUCUUGCAAGGAACAAAGCCUUCUUCCCUAUAUUUUCAAAGAAUGCUAUAAUUAUUAUGGUGAAUCAUGCAUGCAUAUCCAGAAUGAUUUGAUAUUUCUUAAUUGAAUUUUGGAAAGGUCGUGAUACUUGGUAAAGCCUUUGGAUAGUUUCUCUGAGAUGUGAUGGAAUUAACAACAUAUUGAGAAUAAUAAAAAAGAAAAAGCAACGGAAUCAAUGAUCAAAAGUUGUGAAAAUUAUAUCUUUCUUUGAAGAUUUUGAUUUUGACCACAGUGAACCUAUAAGCUUAGAUAGAGAGGGCUUCUAUGAUUUCUAUAUAUACGGACUAGCUUGGCUUCAAACCAUAUGUACAAGUCAAGCUCAAACUCAGAACCUACUUAAACUGUUUCUUCUUCUUAUUUUUUAGUGUCAUUUUGCAAAUGGCUCGCCAAGCAGAUCGCCUUUACAAGAUUGGGUUGGAAGGGUUUGCACUAAUAGACGAGUGGUACGGGUACCCUAGGAGGUCUUCAACUCCUCAAGAGCACCAUCAGCAACGAUAUGAUUAUGGUGGAAUCCAAGUUCCCAUGAUGAAAAUGGAUGUUAUCAACAACAAGGAGGCAGCUAAACAUUAUGGUGGGGUGGUGAUUAUGGAUUAUCGAAAGAAAAAAUUACUCUAUUGAUCUCUUUAGUGAUAAUGUAUUAGGCCUUGCUUUGCUUGGUUAAGUUAAUUACCAAGCAUAAUUAAGUCCGUUUUAACUUUAUUGUUUUCUUCUUCUUUUUCCUAUGUUUGUGUGUGUGUAUGCCAACUGUUUUAGAGUCAGCUACUCCAAAACAUGAAAAAGUAUGAGUGCCUUAAAGUGAUUUGCUGCACCUCUUAUUUCUCUAUGAUUACUUUGUUGGGUUUCUUGAAAUACAUGACAUAGUGAAAAUAGGGAUUUUAGAAAGUUUUUUCAAGUCUCAUGGAUCUCAUUAAACAACAUAAACUUAUUUAGGAUUUGUGCGAAAAUUGUAUGAAGAUGGUUCUUCCUCCUGGAAUUUGAUCAACACUUGAAGGUUGGGUUUGUCGUAAAUCAAGUCUUUACUUGAUUUUUUUAAAUAUAGAAUUUUAAUCUCAUGUGCUAAUUAUAUUAUAGUCUUCAGUUUUUAAAACUUAUUUACAAUCAAUUUGUUGUUACUAACUUUUGACUCCACGAGAAAUCAAUAAAAGAAAAGAGAAAAGAUAGAAAGAGAAAAUCCAAAAUACAAGAGGAUAUACAUGAAAAAAACCUAAAAGAUUAAUAGUAGGCUAGGAACUUUUAGGAUGCUGGGUUCGGUUUCUUCAUGUUCUUGAAAAGAAAAUUGUCUUAGCCUUAUGAUUUAGAUCAACUUUGGUCCAAUUGUUUACACUAAACCAUUCAGGCGACUUGACUAGUAGAUAAUAUAGAGUUUAUUUGCAUUAAUAACAAGUUUAUGUGGUUUUUAAUCCUAAGAUUUUGGUUUUUAACUAAAACUCAUUUUGAUAAAAUCGUGUUAAUUCUUUGAUAAUCAAAGAAAUGGAUGCUAGAUUAUGGAUCCUUGCAUGAUUUUGAAUAAAACUCUGCCUUUGAUUGCAUGAAAACUUGACUGGAUUGAGAUUUGUGUUUGUUGGUUUCUUGAUGAAUGUUCUUUGUGUUCUUCAUGAUUUGAGUGUUUAAUCUAUUUUUCUGUAAUUUUUUUUAUGUUUUGUGUUAAUUUUCAACUUUGGUUUUGUAUCAGUUAAAACCUUUGGGUUUAUUUUCAGGUCAAACAUUGGUUUUUGGUUCGAUUCAUCGUUGAACUAGUGUUUUUGGGUCGACCCAUUUGGUUUUGUUUUGGGUCAAGUACUUAAGGCUUUGUUUGUUUGAACAACCUUUUGUGAAGGAUUUUUUUGGUCUAAGGGGAUGUUUGGCAAACACACACUUAAAUGCAUUUUGGCAAUUUCUAGGGAAAGAAAAGAUUGUUUUUCCAAACAUUGGCUUAUAGAAAUAAAUAAAUAAAAACAAUAAAUGAUUUUGGUUUGUUGCAUAUAUCUCAAUCUUUACAAAAAAAAAUGCAAUUUAUUUAUAAGAAGGAGGGAAAAUGUUUUUAGCAUUGUUUUUUUUUAAUUUUUGUAAUUUACAAUAAGUUUGCAAAAUUCCUUAAGGAUGUGGCCAAUAUUUCAAUAACCCUAAAAAUUUUAAUUCCUAAAAAUUAAUGGUCAACAUUCUGGUAUAAAUGUUAAACCUAUCAAUAACUUAGUAUUUACACUACCACAAUCUUUAUAUUUAUCGACAGAAUUUUCUGUCGGUAUUUGCACUAUCAUUCCGUUGAUAAUUAAUUUACCAAUGAAAUUACCGACGAAAAUACUCCGUCGGUGAAUCCUUCGUCGGUAAUUUUUUGUUCGUCGGUAAGUCCGUUGGUAAUAAAAAUAUUAUUUGACCGAUGAAAAAAGCGUGCAAAAAAAAAUUAUCCGCUUCAUUCCGUCGUUAUUUCUCUCGGUAAGUCCGUAUGUAAUUAUUUAAAUUUUUUUUAAAAAAAUCAUUUUACAAAACUAUAAAAUAAUUAAAUUAAUAUAAAUCAACACUCUAUAAUACUCAAAACACUUGAAAAAAAAAAUAAACAAAAUAAACUCAAACAAAUUUGCAACAAAUAAAUAACAAGAAAAAAUAAAUUCAACUCCAAAAAUUCAUAUGAAAAAAAUAAAGUUGCAAUUGCUAAAAAAUUAAAACUCCUAUAAAUAAAUCAACUGAAAAUUGAUCUCAUAUGGAAAAAAAAAUCCUACAACAACAUUCAUACAAUUAUUAAGAACAAAAAAAAUUAAAAACAAAUAUAGUGAAAACAAAAACACGAAAAAAGAAGAAAACAAAUCUUACCUUAAUGUAGUUGCAAGUGAAGCUAAUAAGAGAAAAAAAAUUAUAAAGUAUAAUAAUUAAAAAAAACUAAGAACAAAAAAAAGAGAGAAAAAUACAUACUUGAGCAUGAAGGAGAAGAGAAGGAGUUGAGGAGAGAGGAGAAGAGAAAGAAAUGGAUAUUGAUGUUUUUUACAUAUGGGAAAGAAGAAGAAGAAGAAGAAGAAGAAAGGAGCCUUGUUUGUUGUGAAAUUGGGGAUUCCAGACUUUUUAUUGGGGUGUUUUACCGAUUGAUAAUUAAAUAUUAAUAUUUUCAAUUAAAUAAAAAAUUUCCGAAACCACCAAAUAUCACCGACAGCUUUUCAAUCCAUCGGUGAUUCCGUCUGUAAUAUUUAAUUUAAAUUUUCAAUUUUAUCAAAAUUUUUAGAAACCCGCCAAAUAACACCGACGACUUUUUAAUCCAUUGGUGAUUUUGUAUUUAAAAAACAGUAAUUAACAGUGCAAUUGUGGAGUGAACAGUUCCAGAGCUCUCUGGAAAAUACCGACGGUAUUUUUCGUUGGUGAUUCUGUCUGUAAUUGACAUGAUGAACAAUGUUAACAGUGAUUCCGUUGGUAAAAAAUGACACGUCAUUGUUUUUUUUUUUUUGCUUUGUUUAAAUUUUUUUUCCCACUGUAAUUCCCUCGGUAUAUACCGAAGGUAUAUUUCGUUGGUAAAAACCGUCGGUAAUUUAUAGACGGAAAUAUUUCCUUGAUAUUUCCGUUUGUAUUUAUUGAUUUUCUGAUAGUGUUAGGUACCAGAAGUUAACUAUAAAUUCUCAGAAUUAUUUUGGAUAUUCACCAAUUUUAAUUGUGAGUAUUUUUUUAUCACAAUAUAUGAGUUAUAGAAAACACUUUCGCAUUUCAGGAUUGGUGACUCCUGUUAGAGCACCUACAUGGAUUCUUUUUAUAAGAAUUUACCUAAGCAUACGAGCCCAUAAUAAAUUUGAAAUGUCAGAUUUAUUUAUGGGCGUAAUUUUUUUUUUGAGCCAUAGAUGAACUACUGAUUAGGAACCCAUCAACACGUUUAAACCAUAUCAUGACAACACAAUACAACUUACUUCGAGUAAGGAUGCUAAUACUUUUUUCUAGCCAAUACUAGUCCCUUACCCUAAAAUUUCAGUUAAGAUCAUUCUACUUGGGUCUUCUAAUGACUCUGAACUACACAACUAGGUGGCGACUCCUUAAUCUCGAUACUGCAACACCGCGCGCGCAUGGGCGACACAAUUCAUGCUUGAUUAAUCAUCCAUGUUCCGAAUAUGUUGACACAAAUAUAAAUUAUAAUCCUAUUCAAAACAAGAUUAAAUAAAUUAAGCAAUUUAACUUAUUAUCAAUCCAACAAAUUAAUAGAUUUAUAUUUAAAUAUCAAAUGCAACAUACCAUGAUCUCUUAAAUCUUGUCGUAGUACCAAAAAAAUGUGAGUGUAUCAUCUUUUAGAUGGUGAAUCAUCUUUUAUCAUUCAUAUACCUUUAUAGCUAUGUGAGCAAGUGUAUCUAGUAAAAAGAUAUAUUAUUCUCCCAUGAUAAUGAGAUUAUCAUGUCUUUAAAUGUCUUUACAGAAAAAGGGGAGGGGGGAAAUGCGCUGAGUAUAUAGCUUUUCUUGAUCUUUUCCAAUCCUUCAUUAUAAAUAGGACGCAUCAAACAUGAUGUGAAUCAUGUUUGAUUCUUUUCACAAACUUUGUGUAUGAUAUGAAUCUCUACUAUUAAAUGCAAUGAGAUGCGCUUUAACUUCCACCAUAUUUCAUUUUAGCCUAGAAGGGUUGAUCUUACUUCCUCAGCAUCUCCAACUGCAUGCCCUUGCCUUCUCUACAUAUAAAAUAGAAUAUUAUUGCUUCUGAAACAUAAAGAUUGCAUGCAUCGGCUUUUAGUGAACUUUUGAUGACAUGAAACUGCCACAAAAUGGGUCCUAUCCGAGAGAGUGUUCUUUUUCUGUUCUGUUAUCACAUAGAACUGAAAUCUGUUCAGAGUACCCCUCCAAGAAAAUGGUCUCUCAAGGGAAGUCCUGAGGAAAUUGACGCAUAUAUAACGAUAUAUCUUGUCCCAGUAUCAAAAACAAAUGUUAAAAAAUGAGAGUAUAUGAACCCAUGAAGUGGUAUCAGAAUCUAUUUUCCUAUUGUUAUUAACAAAACGGAAAGCCAUAACUUACUGUUUGUGCCCUGAAUCUUCUUUCAUAAUUAAACUGAGAUUAUUCUGAUUAGAAGGAAUCAGAGAUAAAAUACCCUGAAUCUUCUUUCAUAAUUGGCUUUCGAGAAGGUUUAGUGUUUUUACUACUUCUACUUUUGGACCUGACUUGAUUCCUCACCGGUAGAAACAGCAUUAGUCCAAAAGCAGGGAAACCAAUAUAAUCUUUUUCAGAUGUCCAUGGUGCUGAUGGAAAAUUAAUCUUUUUCCAGAAGUGUAAGGCUAAAUAGAUAUUAUGAGACCAAUAUAUUUUUCUUAUUGUCAGAUUUUCUUUUUUCUUCUAUAGUUUCUAGUGCUUGGUAUGUAAAUAUUAUCAUAAUAGGUUUGCGUGAAUUCAUAAAAUAGAUGGGAAACCUAACCACGCACGCGAACUAGAGGCAUGCAAACCAUGAAAUAUCUUGAGUAUUUGUGUAUUACAUGGCUUACAAACCUGUAUUUAUUUCCUCUUUAGAUUUGUAUCUUCUUCUUCUUCAUUUUAAUUAUAAUUAAAUCAAUUAUUAUUAUUAUUAUUAAUAUGGGUCUGUGACAUGACCUAAGAGUUGAUGUCUUCUCCCAAGUGUAGGAGUGUCGAAGUAAUAAAUAACCUGGCAAGACCGGGGUCGAACCAUAGGAAGGUUAACUAUAUAAACUACAAAUAAAGAAAUAGAUAAUAACAGAAAAGGAUUGAAGAGAGCUUUGAGAUGUGAUAUUGAUAUAAUGAUUAAACAAUGAUAAAAUAAUUGUCAAGGUUAGAGGAUCCACUAACGGUAUUUCAAACAAGUAUAGUAUAAACUCUUUUUAUUACUCAACUGGAAACCACACACAAAGGAGGUUCCAAUCGGAUUAUAAAUUGUUAACAUGAUUACAUUAGUUAUCUUAUUCGACUAAUGCUAAUACUUGUAAAUAUUGUCAGGUAUUCAUGAUUAUAACUUAUGUUAACAACAAAUCAAGUUCCUUUCAUAGCACAUGUGUCAGUUAUACCAUACGGUUGGGUUAUGAAAGUGCCAAGUAUUUAUUGUACCAAGGGUUAUACAACAUAAAUCUAGAUUAACCAUUUAACAAGCAAAGUAUUAAAAGUGAACAAGAUAACAAAUAUAAAACAUGUUAGUAUCAAACAUUAAAGUCCAUGUUGAGUUUAUACUAUACUUAUUCUUACACUAUUAGUGUAACCUUUUCACCUUGACAUAAUAAACUUAGCUAAACAUAAUGAAAGAUAGAAACAUAAAUAAACAAGAUAAGAACAUAAACAAGAUAUAAGUUAACUAAGUAAAGGAAAGGAAAUGAAAAGCAUAAACAAGAGAUUAAUAUAAUAAAACUUAAGCAUUAUAAAAAUAUAAAGAAAGAGAGCAAGAACAUGAUCUUGAUAUGAAAACCAAGAUGCUUAAAUGCAUGACAAAUGCCUCCUUUUAUAGGCCAAAAUUCGGAACUAUUGAUUUGAUGACUAAUUAUUGAGUUGGUGGCCACAUCUUGACUUGGUGACAAUUCUUAUCUUCUUGUCUGAACAAAACGUCAUUGCUAACAUUAGAAUUUGAAUAGAUAGUCUUCAUGAAAGUUCUGGGAAAUUGUCUCAACUUUCCAACAAAACAAGAAUAGGCGCAUUUGGACUUCUAGAACUCGAGAUAUGGGCUGAAAACUGAACAGUGUCUGGGCUGCAGGACCGAUUCUGACUUCUUCGUUGUUGCUACCAUUUGAACUCGAAAAUGACACUUUUAAAUCUUGGACUCUACAUGAAAGUUUUAGGCCUAUGUCUUAGCUUUCCAUACAUAUAAACCAGACCUAAAUCCAUGUUCUACAGCUUCAUUUAUUAUCCAAUAACCGAAUGGUAUUCUAGUUUGGACUAAACAAGCAUCUCUUUUCUAAGCUUAACCCUCUCUUUGUCUUCUCAAUUUCAGUAGUUAAACUUAAGUAGGAUUUGUGCGAAAAUUGUAUGAAGAUAGUUCUUCCUCCUAGAAUUUGAUCAACACUUGAAGGCUGCGUUCUCGUAAAUCGAGUCCUUACUUGAUUUUUUAAAAUUUAGAAUUUUAAUCUCAUGUGCUAAUUAUAUUAUAGUUUUCAAUUUCUAAAAUUUAUUUACAAUCAAUUUCUUAUUACCUACUUUUGACUCCACAAAAAAUCAAGAAAAGGAAAAAGAAAAAAUAGAAAGAGAAAAUCCAAAAUACAAGAGGAUAUACAUGAAAAAAACCUAAAAGAUUACUCAAGUUGAUGGUCACGGACCAAAUUACAAGUGGAAAAGUUGCAGGACCAAAAUGUACAAAACUGCUAUAAUUAACAACUCAAUUCCAAUUGACAAAGGGCCCCAUUGGUGAAAAUAUUUCUAUUAGGGUAAAGAAAUACAAAUUUGGAUAGGUAAGGACUUAAUGAGAAUUUUGGAAGGCUUAAUUAAUUUUAUUGAGGACUUGAUUACUGGGAAAAUCAGUUUUUAGAGUCAAUUUAGGUGUUAAUUGAAAUAAAUUAAAGUCCAGCGACUUAAUUGGUUUUUUAGGAGGUUUAAUUAGAUGAAUCAAGGGCUUAAUUGUAAGAAUAUUGAAGUUUGGUAGGCAAUUGGGGACUUGAUUGAAGAAAUCUAAAACCAAGGACCAAACUGAAUAAAAGGCGCAUGACUGUAGAGACUAAAUUUGACCAAAUUAGGGGCCAAAUUGAAGAAAAUUGAAAGUUUAAUGGUCAAUUAAGGGUCCGACUGCACAAAAUAGAAACUAAGGACCAAGAUUAAAAUGGCGCUGAACUUUGAGGCUGAUGAUUAAGCUGGACAAGAGUGAAAUUACAUGAAAUUAAGAAUUUGAGAGACAAUUAUAGAUGCAAUUAAAACAAAUUUGAAGAAUAGGGACUAAAGUGAAAAUUUUCAAAUCCCAAAUUAAAAACCCUAAUUUCUAGGGUUUAACCUAGACGACGCGUCGUUCGGCCAUUGUUUAGUUUUUUGUUGGAAAUUUUGGUUGAUCGAGUAGGCACCUUAAACAAAUGAAUGUGGCAUUUCCGACCACUUCUAGGACUGUAACCACCACCAUUUAAUUGAGAAACACCCCCUCUACAAAGAUCAACUAUAACCAUCAAGCACUUAUAUCCCAUUUUCUUUAUCGAAUUCAACAACAUCUUGUUUCUAAUUAGCCAUUACUACAUUUUCAGAUUCUCGGAUAAUCAAGUUUGUCACCUUCAAUAAGUGAAUAUGGAGCUACAAACAUCCAAAUUGAACAAGAAUGGACCAAAUCAAAGGUGUGAUUCUCCUUUAUAAAGUUUAGGUGGUCUCCAAUAACAUUUACGUUGGAGUUGCUCUUGCGUGGCCUCAAAAUUGGUCAACUCAGUCAGUCUUGACUAAGAUACCUAUUUGUACAAAACUAUUUGUCGUGUGUUCACACUUAAAAAAUUUUAGAGAGUUCUUAUCAUGGGUCAUAAAUCUUUCAUCCAUAAUCAGAAGAUGAGGGAUGCAUGCCUUUAUCUCCAAGAAAAAGAAAACCUCUUAGGUAAUUUUGUUACAAAACCAUUGUCCCAAAACCAUUAAAAGAUAAAGGUUCUGAUUGUUAACAUUUGUCCAAAACUCUCUCAUUUUGAUCAAAGAGCUCAGCUUUAAUCGAUCUAUAUUUGAAUCCAUCAAAGACCCUAGCAAAACCCUAUAAAUACCCCCUGAAAAAUAAAAAUAAAAAGAGAGAGAGGAAAAACAUGGAAGAAACACAAUAUAAAAAGAUCCUGGUGUGAAGGUUCAAUAGCCUAACAUAAAGGGUCUAACAAGCUUUGGAAAAAAUAUAAUGAAAGGGAAAGAAGUAAAUAAAAGAGAAGGAGAAUAGUUCAUAUAUAGCAAGCUUGGAAAAGGUAUAACCAUGUAGAAAUUCAAGCGUGGAGUCCAUGUGGCCUUCCUUUUCAUGCUUUCUUAAUGUUUAAACCUCUUUUGAUGUUGUUUGAGCUUAUCUUGCAAAUUUUGGUUUGAUUUUGGUGCUAGAAUAAUUUGAUGUUUUUUCAAUAGAGUUUGUUUUGUUAGAUUUCAUUAUGAUAUGAUAAUUUGUUUUGGUCAAUAAUUUGUUAUUGAGGCUUGCACUAAAGACAUGAUUCUUGGUUUUCACACUUGUUUGAUUAUGUGAUUUUAGCCUAAUAGCAUGAUGAUGAUGUAUUUGAGAUAUUUUGAUUGGUGUUUGAAUCUGUUUUGUAAUAAAACAAUAAGUUGUUUUUGGUUGCGGGUUAAAUAUUUUGGAAGCAUGUUGAUUAAUUUGAUGAUUUUAGUGCAAAUUCAUGGUUCAUACAAGUAUGUUUUGGCAUAUAGAUGUUAAAAAUAUCAAGUUUUGAAUCCAAAUAGCAUGAAUAUGCUUCUUGAUUAUCUUUAGUAGUUUUGAACUUUGGAACUUCAUGCAUGUUAUUGAUGACUUUAUUUUAUUUAUUAGUUCUUUGAAUUCAACGAUGCUUAAUAUUGAUAAUAUGGUUUGUAAGGACCAAAAGAAACAUGUUUUAAAAGCCUGAGAGGCUAGUUUUGGGUUUAAUAGUAGGCUGGGAACUUUUAGGUUGCUGGGUUUGGUUUCUUCAUGUUCUUGGAAAGAAAAUUGCCUUAGCACUAUGAUUUAGAUCAACUUUGGUCCCAAUGUUUACAUUAACCAUUCAGGCGACUUGACUAGUAGAUAAUAUAGGGUUUAUUUGCAUUAAUAACAAGUUUCUGGGUUUUUAAUCCUAAGAUUUGAUUUUCAACCGAAACCCAUUUUCACAAAAUCGCGUUAAUUCUUUGAUAAUCAAAGUAAUGGAUGCUAGAUUAUGAAUCAUUGCAUGAUUUCAAAUAAAACAUUGCCCUUGAUUGCAUGAAAACUUGACUAGAUUGAGAUUUGUGUUUGUUAGUUUGUUGAUGAAUACUCUUUGUGUUCUUCAUGAUUUGAAUGUUUGAUCUAUUUUUCUGCAAAUUUUUUUAUGUUUUGUGUUAAUUUUCAACUUUGAUUUUGUUUCAGUUUAAACCUUUGUUUGAGUUUAUUUUUCAGGUCAAACCUUGUUUUUUGGUUCAGUUUAUGGUUAAACUAGUGUCUUUGGGUUGACCCAUUUGGUUUUGUUUUAGGUCAAGUACUUAAGGCUUUGUUUGUUUGAACAACCUUUUGUGAAGGAUAUUUUUGGCCCAAGGGAAUGUUUGGCAAACACACACUUAAGUGCAUUUUGGUAAUUUUUAGGGAAAGAAAAGAUGGUUUUGCCAAACAUUGGCUUAUAGAAAUAAACUAACUAUGUAACUCGCGCUCCGCCGCGGGUUAAAUAAUCAAAAAAUUUUAAAAGAGCUCCUAAACAAAAUAAAAGAGAUGAUGUUUUGUCCUGGUUGUUUCAAAUUUUCAAAUUUCUUGGCUCUUGCUUCACAGUCAGACACAAUCUCAAAAAAGAUUUUAAAAACAUUUAUUUAAAAAAUAAUAGAAAAACAUAGAAAAAAAUUUAAGUAAAGAAAAAAAUUAAAAAUUUUCAAGACACAAUCUCAAUAUAUAUUUUGAAAAAAAAAUAUUUUAAAAAUAAUACAAUAAGGGCCCUUUCUUACUCCAUUAAACGUUGCUUUGUAUUAUACUUUUGCCGAUGUUUUAAUUGCCUUUUCCAUUUUUUGAGAAAUUAUUUUAAAAGGAAAACUCAAAAAAUUUGGUUUUGUUCAUGAAAACUAAAACUUUCAAUGCAAUCAUCAUAUUUUGUUUCUUUAAGCAACUCUCAUAAAAGGUGUUUCAAAAGUUCUAUGAUGAUACCCCUUUGGGCUUUGGUUCACUAUAAACCCCUAUGUGCACUUUUUACCCCUUAGUGUGGUGUGCAAUACCUAUCAGGUUUAAAUUUGGUUUGGAUCCCUUCAAUUUGAGAAUUGAUGGAGUCAUCUUUUUAGUCAUGUGUAAAAACAGUUCUUUUAAGUAAAAGAUUUUGAAUGCUAUGAGAUCAUGCGCUUUAUGAAGAAAAGGUUCUUUAUAGAGAGAAGUCACGGCCGAACUUUAUUUUAUGGAUCGGGAAGCAUAGUAUUUCUUUAUAGAGUCAGAAUUUACAGGUCUAACUAGAUCUUCUCCAUCCAUUCUAGAUAACAAUAAAGCUCCUCCCAAGAAUGCUUUCUUUACCAUGUAAGGGCCCUUAUUGUUUGGCGUCCAUUUACUCUGAUCUUCUCCUGGUAAAGGCUAUAUUUUCUUCAGUACAAGAUCUCUUUCAUGGAAUCCUCGAGGUCAGACCUUCUUAUCAUAUGAUUUGGUCAUCCAAGAUGAUGACAGAUUGCAGUUAUCCUCUUUUUACUGAUCAGAUUCAACUAUUCAUAUCUAACUUUUAUCCAUUCCACCUCUUCUAAACUCAAAGUCUACCAAUACUCUUAAUGAGGGGGUUUCCACUUCUAAAAGCAUCACCGCCUCCAUUCUAUAUACCAAAGUGUACGGGGUGGCUCCUGUUGAAGUUUGAAUUGUGGUGUGGUACACGUGAAGGGCAAAUGGCAACGUCUCAUGCCAAUCCUUAUAGGUGACAACCAUCUUCUAUAUAAUCUUGACAUUUUCGUUAUCAGCUUCUACUGGACUAUUAAUCUUUGGCCUAUAUGGCGAGGAAUUGAAAUGUUUGAUUUUCCAUUUAGCGAAGAGUUCUAUUAUCAUCUUGCUAUUGAAGUUUUGGACAUUAUUAGUUAUAAUAUUUUCUAGUGGACCAUAUCGACAGAUCAAAUCUCUUUCCAUAAAUUUCUUUACCACAUUUUGCCUCCACGUCAUCCAAACAUCUCAACAAAGUUCUGUCAGAUGAUUUCUUAUACAAAAUUUCCCCAUCAAGAUAGAAAUCCAUUGCCAACCUCCUCAAAGUCUUCUUGUUGAUUUUGGAUGCCCCCAUGGGAUAUGUCUGGUUUUGGAUGAAAUUCUUAAUAUCAUAGUACCAAGGGUUUUCAUCUAUUUCUCUUUCAACUAAGCAACAAUGAGCUGGGUUAUUUCUGGUAUCAAUGUGUACCGGUUGUACCUUGUGCCCAAAGUCUAUUCUAGCCAUAGAAGCUAAUGUGACCAAAGCAUCAACAAAAUGUUUUCCUUCCAUUCCUAAAUGGGUGAACUUUAUUUCCCCAAAUUCUCUAGCCAAUUUAGACAGGUAUUCUUGGUAAGGUCUCAACUUCUCGUCCUUGGUUUGCCCUUUUCCUUUCACUUGGAAAAUAAUCAAAAUUGAGUCUCCAUACACAUCUAUCUUUCUAAUAUCCAGCUCCGAUGCCACCUCUAAAACGAGAAUGCAAGCUUCAUACUCCUAUGUUGUUAUUGCACCCAAACUGCGACUUAACUGAAACCGGAUACUAUUUCUUAUCAGGAGAUAUUAGCACUGCCCCCACUCCGUUACCACAGCACCAUCAAAAUACAUAAUCCACCAAUCUGAUUUCCCUUCCUCGACUGAAAGCACAUCUUCAUUAGGAAAAUCAAAUUUUAACGGCUUAUAAUCUUACAUAGCAUGGUCGGCCAGGUGAUUGGCAAUAACACUCCCUUUCAUAGCUUUCCUUGUCAUAUAUAUUAUGUCGUACUUUGCCAGUAGAAAUUGCCAUUUUGCAAUUCAGCUUGAUAGAUAGGGGUGGAUUCAGUAGGUAUUACUUGAUUUUCUCGAAAGCUUCUUCACACUCUUAUUCCAAAUUCCGAGAUUCUUCUUCCUUAACAAUCGAAGAUUGAGUCACAAGUCGUGGUUAAUUGGGAUAUAAACCGGGUAAUGUGAUUCAGUUUUCCUAAGAACCCUCUUACAUCCUUCUCAGUCCUAGGAGUUGGCAUAGAUUGAAUAACCUUUACUUAACUAGGGUGCACUUCUAUUCCUUUAUCACUCAUCAUAAAUCCCAACAACUUCCUAGAUUUCACCCUGAAUGAACACCUUACAUGGUUAAGCCUCAACUUGUACUUCCUUAGUCUUUCAAAUAAUUCCUUCAAUAUUUGGACAUGAUUCUCUCCCUCUCUAGAUUUAGCAAUCAUGUCAUCCACGUAUACUUUAAUCUCUUUUUGCAUCAUGUCGUGAAAUAGAGCCACCAUGGCCCUUUGGUAGGUGGCCUCGACAUUCUUUAACCUAAAUGACAUGACCUUGUAGCAAAAGGUUCCCCAUAGUGUUACAAAGGUUUCUUCUCCUUAUCCUCUUGCGCCAUUUUAUCUUAUUGUAGCCCGAAAACCGGUCUAUAAAGGAAUAUAUGGGGCUACGAGUUGCAUUGUCAACCAACAUAUCUAGGAGUGAUAAAGGAAAAUUGUCUUUAAGGUUAGUCCGGUUUAAGUCCCUAAAGUCCACACAAACUCUAAUUUUAACUUCCUCUUCGGGUACUACCACUAUGUUGGACACACAUUGCGGAUACUUGACUAUUUCUAGAAAACUAGCAUUCCACUGCUUUUCAAUUUAUGUCUUUACCUUGAUCAAGACAUUCAGAUUGGUCCUUCUCAACCUUUGUUUAACCGAUUUGCAUCCUUCUACUAGUGGAACCCUAUACAAACCAGGCAUAUCCUUAUAGGACCAGGAAAAAAUCUACAUAAUCUUGGAAUAGUGCAAUCAACUUUUCUCUUUCUUUAGGGGUGAUCAAAGUUAUUAUCUUCAACUCUCUCUUGAUUUUUCCAUUGCCUACGUCUUUGGUUUCAAAUUCCUCUUUAGCGGGUUUCCAAGUUUGUUCAUGUUGUUCUUAUUAAUUUUUGUGAAUCCUUUAAUGUUAUUUUCCUCUCAUUCUUCUUCUUCUACAACUAAUAUGUGUUCUUUAAAGUUCGGCCAUUCAUUCUCAGUGUAAAGUGCAGGUGUUGUUAUGAAAGAUCCAUUUUGAAAACGGAAAGUGACGUGUAAAAACAUCAAGAUGAACUUUUGAAAAUGCAUGAUCUCAUUAAAAGGAAAAAGUUUGGCUAAAAAAAAACAAGGAUAAAAUCCAAUUGACAUUUGGAACCUCGAUUUAAAAAGGUGAAAAAGGCAAACAACACAAUAUCAUAAUCAAACAAGCAUUGUUGAUUAAAUUUUGAACACCAAUAGAGCUUCUUGGGUCUCCCAAUUCUGGAACAUCUCUCCCUUUGCUAGCUUUUGAAUGAAGGUCUUGAGAUUCAAGAUGCUUUGAGCUUAGGCUUGUUUGGAUGCAAAAAGAUAUUAUGGAGCAUACAUCCUAAGGAUAGGUUCUAUUUCCUUUAUGUGAGACAUUGGGUAGGUUUACUACUUGGUCUCUAAAGUGGGUCUCUUGCUGUCCUAGUGAUCACUCUCGUAAAGGCAAUAUGGGGAUUCAGCAGAUAGUGGGAUGGCACAUGUACCAAUCACUAUCAGUUUAAACAUUCAGCAAAGAGUUGGGGUUUACACAAACUUAAACCUUGACUCAAGUCAUAAGGCAAGCUGCUAGUCCCCCACUUAACUUUAAAUUUAAUGUGUGUGCUCUCCAAAAAGAAAAUAAUGAUAAAGUGAUGAAUGACUACAUCAUGUAUGACAGAAUGUAAAGAUGCAUGCUAAAGCUUUUAAACAAAUUAUCAUUCAUAGUAAAAAAAACAACAACACAUAGCAUAAUAAAAAAAACAAUUACCAAGCUUAGUCCAAGGGUCCCCAGCGGAGUCGCCAUCCUGUCACACCCUCGCGCGGCAUCUAAUGGCGAUUUUCGAUUGAUUUUGGUUUUUUUGUUUCGUGCAUAAAGGAGUCGCCACCUAGUAUUAUGGUCACUAGGAACCUUGACUGGUCUUUCAGAGAUUCUAAAGCAAGGGACUGGUUGCGUAAAGGGAAGGUAUUAGCACCCCUAGUACGCCCUACCUAAGGUAAGCUGCUUGGUGCUUGGUUUGGCUUAUAAUUGCUAUGGUGUUGGUGUUUUCUAAUCCCAUCAAUUUUUCUAGAUUUGAUUCAAACUAAAUUUAUUAAGAUAGAAAUCCAAGGAGAUUCCAUGUGCUUUAAAAGCUCAUUUUUCCUUUAGUAUUUCAAGAGUUUGCGACUGGUAAAUUGCAAGGGGGACGGACAAAAAUUUAGAAAUCUAGGGCACUUUAAAAGCCUAUUUUUGCCUUAGUGUUUUUUUUUACUCUCACGGCUCGUAAACAGUGGAGUAAAAAAUUGAAAUGUCCUCGAUUAUAAUCAAGGCUUCUUUCAAGGAUGUGCGAUGACUUAUUAUCCCUAGAAAAUUAUUUUGGAUAUUUACCACUUAGGGUUUUCUUUAUCCAAAUAUUAACAGCGAAUAAUAACAAGUUAUUCCCAAUAAUAUUUUGGAUAUUCAUCUCUUUGAGAUUUCUUUAUCCAAACAUUAACGGUGAAUAAUAACAAGUUAUUCCCAAUAAUAUUUUGGAUAUUCAUCCCUUUGGGAUUUCUUUAUCCAAAUAUUAACGGUGAAUAAUAGAUGAAUUCCCCCAAAAUAAGAUUUUUGUAUUUUUUGAAAUAUUGGCCAAUACCCUUUGGAGUUUUACAAACAUGUUGUAAAAUCCAGAAAUGCAAGAAAAUAAUUUUUGUUGUGUUUGAGAAAUCCAUGCGAAAACACAUUUUCAAAACUUCAAGUAUUUGUUUUUUUUAAGAGGAAAUUCAAAAGGAUAUUAGGGUAUUGGCCGUAUGCAACACACAAAAAUAUUUUUUUAUAUUUUUAUAUCAGGAAAAAAAAAACAUCAUAGUUAAUCGCAAUUAAAGACAACAAAACCCAACCCGGUUACUGGUUCUGCCACAGUUACAUGCAUAUGCAUGCUACAGUUGCAGUAAUUAAUUUGGUAAAGACAGGGAAAGAAAGACUUACCUGCGAGGCAGCGAAAAUUCAAAAUGCACAGUAACAGGGUGAAUUACAUUUAUGCAUGCAUAGAGAUGAAGAGAGCUUAGCAGGGACGAAGCUGGUGCUCGGGGAUUUAUUUCCAAGCUCAACCCGGUUACUGGCUCAAACCAGUAACCAGUUCUGGUGCAGGGAUGAAGCUGGUGGGUGGCGUCGACCGGGAUGAAACAACUGGUCUCAUUGCUGGGCUGCUGCUUCGGCUAAUACCUGUUCCUAUGGAAGAAAAACAAAAGUUGCACCGCUUGAGGAGAAGAAACUGGAGACGGAACGAAGGGACACAGGCGAUGGUGAAGGCGUGCUGGUUGGUCUCUCUGUGUUUUCGUCUGUUUAUCUUCUUUCCUUCUGCUCGUCCUUCCUCUCAUUCGCGUCUGUCUUGUCUCUACUGAGAAGAAAUGGUUGCUGUUGUUGUGGGACUCGGUGGAGGCCGGUCUGGGGCUAAGUUGACAGAGAGGGCUGCUUCGGGUGCAGGGGAAGAAAUGGCUGGGGGGCUGUGGUUGGCCAGGAGAGGGAAGAUGAGAGGGAAGACGGCAGCAGCUGAGUCUGUUGAGAGAGAUGAGGGAAGAGACGGGACGACUGGUGGGAGAGACUGAGAGUUUGUGUUGAUAGCCGGCUAUGGGGGGUUUGUUUUGGGGCUGAGGGGACAGGAAAGCUUUUGGCUGGCGAGAGGGGAAAAUGAAACCGAAGGGAAAAGGCUGGAAUCGGGGAGAAGGGAGUGUUGGUGCUGUGGUCGGGUGUCUGUGGGGUAAGUGGCUGAGAUGGAGAAAUGGAGGGGCUCGCUGGUGGCUGACUUGGGAGAAGAAGAUGGGGGAAUGGUUUGUUUGGCUGGCGGCAGAGAAAGGAGAGUGCAGGGGCAGUGAGCGGGGCUGUUGGAUGGAGAAGAGGAAGGCUUCUGCUGGUUCACGGAAGCAAAAAUCAAAAGCAGGGAGGGCGGCUCUAUUUUUUUUUCUUUUCAAAGGGAGGCAGCGACCAGAAGAGGAAGAUGAAACGAGUUUAGGGUUUUUUUUUGUGUUUGGCUCCUCUUUUCUGAAAAAUUACUCCCUUUUGAAUAUUUUUUCUCCGGGUGUAUAUGGUUGGAGGUUCACUUAUAUAGAAAAUCUCUAUAUGUGCUAUUUAGAGAAAUAUUACAAUAAUUAUUACAGAGAUUGUCUUCUAUAACCAGCACCAACAAAUCCUAUAUAUAUGGUAUUUUAUAUUGCAGUGAUUUUUUUCCAUAACCAGCACGAAUCAAAUCAUAUAUCUAUGGUAUUUUAUAUUGCCGUAAUUAUAUAUGAUUCAAUAAUUAUCUCCUUCACACAUUGCUUCCUUAAUAUUAGCCCUAAUGCUUUAUGUUAUCGCCACAUGUAAACCCUUAUUAUUAUUUUAUUAUUAUUUUUAUUUUGAAAAAUUUAUCAAAACGUUGGUAAAAAAUCGGGUAGCAACAAGGAGGACCUAAUGUCAUUGGGUCCUGGUGUUAGCAGUACCCAAUAGCCCACAGUUAACCACUCUGUUGGGUCUCCCAGUAGCUCUGGGAAGACAAGGGAAAGCCCCCAGCAUUAAAUUUUGACCAAAACCAUAGCAGGGUAUGACCCCCAGGGUGUAUGGCUGCUGGGUUUGGCUGUGCAACCAUACCCAAUAUCCUUGGGUAUUGUUGCGCAGCCAAACCCAACACCUUUGGAGGGUGUUGGGUCCUGCACCUGAUCAAAAUAGCUAUAGUAUAAGUAAUCCAUCCUAGGGACAUCGGCAUAGGAAGAUUGAAAAAAAAAAAACAAUUGAUUUCCUUUGGUAGAUGGAUUGGAAAUUCAUGUUAUCACGUAUGUGAGAAUUCAAUCACCCAUACCUCUCUAUAUCUCUGCACAUCGUAAAUAUAUAUAUCUUUUUCACUACAGUAUAACACCACCAUUGAAUAUUAAUGCAAGACCAUUGAUCAAUAAGGACGACUGGCUUCCAAACCCAACAACCAUACCCAAUUAAAUUUCUUUGUCGUUGCCUUCUCUGAUUUAAAUUUAUGUUUCAAAAUAAAUUGAUGAGAUUUUUUUUAUAUUGUAUAAAACUUGAGUGAUAAUAAUUUUUUCCGGUUUUAGGUUGGGUUGAAUUUCCUAAUUAAAUCAUGCUUGAUUUUGCAUUUCAAAAAUUCCUUGAAAUUUUUUUGAUAAUUUUUAAUUUUUUUUUCUUUGCUUGAAAUUAAUAUUUUUUUUAUGUUUUUGUAUUAUUUUUUUUAAAAAAAUAUGUUGAGAUUAUGUCUGGCUGCGACGCCAAACCCAAGAAAUUUUAAAAUUUUUAAUUUUUUUUACUUCAAAAUAUUAUUUUCUCCAUGUUUUUGUAUUAUUUUUUAAAUAGCUUUUUUAACAAAUAUAUUGAGAUUGUGUCUAGUUGAGAGGCGAGGCUCAAGAAAUAAAAAAAAAUUUCAUUUUUUUAUUUACUGCAAAUUAAUUUUCGUUUGAUAUUUUUUUCUUCACUUCAAAUUAUUUAGAUCAUGUUUGACUUUGCAUUUCAAAAAUUAUUUGAAAUUUUUUUGACAAUUUUGAAGUUUUUUUUCUUUACUUAAAUUAUUUUUAUGUUUUUGUAUUUUUUUUAAAUGUUGGCAUUGGGUUUGUCUGCAAUGUUAGACCCAAGAAAUUUUCAAAUUUUAAUUUUUUUCUUUCCUUCAAAAUAAUAUUUUUUUUUCAUGUUUUUAUAUUUUUUUUAAAAUAUAUUUUUUAAAAAAAUAUUGAGAUUUUGUCUUGCUCGUUUGUGGGGCCUCUAAACCCAAGGGCGGUUAGAACAGACCUCGACGGCUGGGUCUGCACCCAGCGCGCAGGUCCAGAGGCCAGGAGCGCGGGGUUGCAGACCCUGCCUCGCUGGUCUGCAGACCCCAGGGUUGCAAGGCUGCACACUCGCUCGCACUGGGAUGCAGCCAGGCGCGCGGGUCUGCCCUAACACCUAAGGCAUGGCAGGCCCCGUGCUAGGUGUCUGCAUGCUAGGCCCUUGGGCAACCCUAGUGCCAAGUGGCAGCAGCCUAGAGCACGAGCAGGCACACGUGGCCUGCCCCCCUCCUGGGCCUGACACCCUAAGCGCCAAGUGUCCCCAGCCUUAGGGGUUGUGCGUCCAGCCAGGCAUUUGGGGCCUACACUAAUAUUUUUUUCAAAAAUUAUUUUUUAACAAUAACAAUAAUAAUAAUGAUGAUAUUUGUUAUUAUAUUUUUUUUUUUUUGCAAUUUCCUUCUAUUUUUAAUAUUAAUACAAAUAAUAAUAUUUAGUAAUAAUAUUUUUUUUAACAUUCAAUGAAAUUAAAAAUCAAAAUAUUUAGAAUAAAAAUAACAAUAUUUAGACUACGAAUAAUAAUAUUUAUCACAUUAAUAAUAAUAUGAAACUUGUUUGACCAAAGUUGAUAAAAUAAUAUAUAUUUUUUUAAAAAAUUAUUAACAAUAAUAAUAACGAUAAUUGUUGUUAUAUUGUUUUUUAAAAUUUUUUCUAUCCUUAACAUUAAUACUUUUAAUUACAAUAAAGAUAAUAAUAUUUAGAAUACAAAUAAUACUAUUUAUCAUAUUAAUAAUAAUAUCUACAGUAAUAAAUUUUUUUAUGAUAAUUAACAAUGAGACAAUAAUAAUAAUAAUAAUUGCUAUUGUAUUUUUUCCCCCUGCAGGGUCUGCCGAUCUAACCGUGCGAGCCUCUAAACCCAAGGGCGGUUAGAACAGACAUCGGCGGUCGGGUUUGCACCCAGUGCGCGGGUCAGGAGGCUAGGAGCCGGGGUGCAGACCCUACCUCGCGUGUCUGCAGACCCCAGGGUUGCGGGGCUGCAGACCCGCUCGCCGUGGGGCUGCAGCCAGGUGCACGGGUCUGCCCCUAGCACCUAAGGCGUGGCAAACCCCGCGCCAGGUGUCUUCAUGUUAGGGCCUCGGCCAGCCCUAGCAUCAAAUGGCAGCAGCCUGGGGCGCGCGCAAGCGAGCGUGGGCAACCCAACGCCCAGGCUAGUUAGCCCAAGGUGGUGUGCAUCCACCCAGGCGCUUGGGGCAUGCAAUAAGAUUUUUUUCAAAAAAUGUUUUUUAAAGAAUAAUAAUAAUGAUAAUUGUUAUUAUAUUUGUUUUUUUCAAUUUUCAUCUAUUCUUAAUAUUAAUACAUUUAAUUAAAAUAAUAAUAAUAAUAAUAAUAAUAAUAGUUAGUAUACAAAUAAUAAUAUUUAUCACAUUAAUAAUAAUAUGAAACUUGCUUGACCAAAGUUGAUACAAUAUUAAUAAUAAUAUGAAACUUGCUUGACCAAAGUUGAUACAAUAUUAAUAAUAAUAUUUAUCACAUAUUUUAUCAAAUUAUUUACAAAUAAUAAUAUAUGUUUUAUGUUUGAAAAUCCAUUUUUUAUAUACUCACAUCAAAAUAUUCAUUCGUGUAAAAAGGAAAUAAUAAUAUUAAUUUUUCUUUUCUUUUCUCUUAUUUUUUAUAUGAAUACUUUUUUUUAUAUAUUUUUGAUAUUUCUUUUCUUGAAUUUUCUUAUUAAAGAAUGUUUGUUUUUACGUUUCAAAAAUGCUUUGAAAACAUUUUGAAAAUUUUUAAUUGUUUUCUUUACUUCAAAUUAAUAUUUUUUAUGUUGUAUAUUUUUUUUGGUCUGGCUCCAUUGCUGCGUUUUUAUUAUAAUUCUAAUUAUAAAAUAAUAAUAUUUAUAAUAAAAAUAAUUAUAUUUAGAAAGCUAAGACCCAAUUAUCUUGGGUCGUGACGUAGGACCCAUUACCCUUGGGUCCCGACGCGGGACCUAAAAGAAUUGGGUCUUGACGCAUGACCCAAUUCUCUUGGGUUCUUGGGUCCGGUGGCAGGACCUAAGAGAAUUAUAAUAAAAAUAAUAAUAUUUAUAAUACAAAUAAUAAUAUGUUUAAUGUCAAUAACAUUAAUUAUAAUAAACAUAACAAUAUUUAUAAUACAAAUAAGAAUAUCUUGAAUUUCAAUAACAGUAAUUAUAAGAAAAAUAAUAAUAUUUUUCAUUUAUUAAUUAUUAUAUGAAUAAUAUUAAUUAUAAUAAAAAUAAAAAUAUUUAUAAUACAAAUAAUAAUAAUUUUAAUGUUAAUAAUAAUAAUAAUAUAAUAAUAAUAAUAAUAAUAAUUAUUAUUAUUAUUAUUAUUAUUUAUAAUACAACUAAGAAUAUUUUUUAAUAACAUUAAUUAUAAUACAAAAGUGUUAAUAUUAAAAAUAUUAUCAUUUUUAUUAUAAUUAAAAAUAUUAUUAUUUGUAUUAUACAUAUUAUUAUUUUUAUUAUAAUUAAUAUUAUUCAUAUAAUAAUUAAUAAAUUUGGGAAAUUUAUUAUUAUUAUUAUUAUUAUUAUUAAUAAAUUUUUAAAAUACUAUUAUUACAAUUGAAGAAAAACAUCAUUUUUGUAAAGAUUUAAAAAUAUAAUUCAAAGAAUUCAUAUAAAAAAUAUAAUUAUUUGUAUUAUAAAUAUAAUUAUUUUUCUUAUAAUUCAAAGUAUUCAUAUCAAAAAAUUUAUUAUUUGUGUUAUAGAUAUAUUAUUUUAAUUAUAAUUCUAAGUAUUAAUAUAAAAAUAUUAUAAUUUGUGUUAUAAAUAUUCUUGAGUUUGUUAAUAUAACUAUUUGUGUUAUAAAUAUUAUCAUAACAAAUAAUCAAGCGCCAAGCGCCCUAAGGCUGCAUCCAAGCAUGCGGGUCCGACCAUAGCGCUCAAGGUUGGUCACACCUUGUGCCAGGUGUUUGCAUGCUGAGGCCUCGACCAGCCAUAGCUCCAAGUGUUUGCUGCCUGGGGCCGCGACUAGGGGCGCGUGGCUGGCCCCAACACCCUGGCUUGGCUACCCAAGCACAAGGUGUCGACAGUUUGAUCUAAUUAAAUGUCGCCUUUGCCGCUACAUCACUCCCAUCUUAAUGACAAAAGUCAAAUGAACCACCCUAGCCGCAAUUCUUGACUAAAAACACAGGUAAGGAACACACCCCAAGGUGCUAUAGUGUCGUCCACAGUUCAUUGUAUCUUGGGCCAUAGUGCAUGUACAGUAGAAAAUCCUCAUUUGUGUUAAGACAUAGCAAAGCAACUAUGUAAGUUUUAAUACAUAGCAAAACAAUUGUGCAAGUCCACAGUUAAUUGUCUCUUGGUCCACAGUGCAUGAAGGUACAGUAAGUCCACAGUGAAUUAUCUCUCAGUCCACAAUGUAUUCAUGUAUAGUAGAAAACCCACGUGUUUUAGAGUUCUGUUAAUAAUAAAAAAAAAUAGAAAAUAAUUUUGAUAUGUUGCAUACGUCUCAAUCCUUACAUAACAUUGCAAUUUAUUUAUAAAAAGGAGGGGAACAUGUUUUUAGCAUUGGAAUUUUUUUUCAUUUUUGUAAUUUACAAUAAGUUUUUAAAAUUCCUUAAGGAUUUGGCCAAUAUUUCAAUAACCCUAAAAAUUUUAAUUUCUAAAAAUUAAAGGUCAACAUUCUGGUAUAAAUGUUAGACCUACCAGUAGGCUAGUAUUUAAGUACCAGAAGUUAACAAGAAAAUUUUUAGAAUUAUUUUGGAUAUUCAUCAAUUUUAAUUGUGAGUAUUUUUUCAUCACAAUAUAUGAGUUGUGAAAAACAUUUUCGCCUUUCAGGAUAGGUGACUCUUAUCAGAGCACCUACAUGAAUUUUUUUAUAAUAAUUUACCUAAGUAUACGAGCCCAUAAUAAAUUUGAAAUGUCAGAUUUAUUUAUGGGAGUAAUUUUUUUUUCUGAGCCAUAAAUGGGCUACCGGUUAGGAACUCAUCAACACGUUUAAACCACAUCAUGACAACACAAUACAACUUACCUCAAGUAAGGAUGCUAAUACCUUUUUCUAACUAAUUCUAGUCACUUACCCUAAAAUUUCAGAUAAAAUCAGUCUACUUGGGUCUUCUAAUGACUCUGAACCACAUAACUAGGUCGAGACUCCUUAAUCUCGAUGCUGCAACACCGCGCGCACAUGGGCGACACCAUUCAUGCUUGAUUAAUCAUCCAUGUGAAUUAUUAGGUUUCGAAUAUGUUGGCACAAAUAUAAAUCAUAAUCCUAUUCAUAACAAGAUUAAAUAAAUUAAGCAAUUUAACUUACUAUCAAUCCAACAAAUUGAUAAAUUUAUAUUUAAAUAUCAAAUGCAACAUACCAUGAUCUCUUAAAUCUUAUCCCAGUAUAAAACAAAUGUGAGUAUAUGAACCCAUGAAGUGGUAUCAGAAUCUAUUUUCCUAUUAUUAUUAACAAAACGGAAAGCCAUAACUUACUGUUUGUACUAUAUAAUAUUGGGAUUGAGAAGUACAAUGUCCAGAAUGCUUUUCAGGAUAACCAUAUGUUCACAUCCAUGAAUCUCAAUGGAUUUCCCUUAUAUAUUACACAUUGAAAAAAUAAAAUAUUUAUCUAGUAUUUAUAUAAUAAACUUUGAUACAAGAUAAUAAUCAAAACAAAAGGGAAAGUGGACAUGCCUGUACAAGGUUGAGCCGGGCAAGAGGAAAACUUCUGAUUGCUCUCUGGCGUAUGAGGCAAUGCCUAUACUUUCUGAACCUUUUGUUUCUAGCAAUAAUUUGUUUUUAGCUCUUAAACUGAAACCAUAAUUUUUUUAAAACUUAGAAUUAAUUUUCUAUUAGUCACAAAAUCCUAACAACUCUUUUAUUUUAAAAUGUUUUUACAACUCUUUAACUUCCUAACAACUCUUUUAUUUUUUUGAACUGUUAUAACAACCUUUUAAUUUUCUAAUUUAUUUUCUUCCUAGUUGUUCCAUGUUAACAACCUAUAUAUACCAUGCACUCUUACAAUCAAAGUGUGCUGAAAAAACCAUAUUAUUUUUAUGUAUUUGCAAAGCUUGCUGGCAUUUCCUUUCGAUCUUGGUCUAGCUGUUUCUGUAACCCUUGUUUUUUUAAAAAACCUUGUUGAAUUCUAGAAUAUAAUGUUGAGAAAAUAUCUUUAAGGACAAUUUUGUGCAUGCCUCAAGUUUUAUUUUAUUUCUAUUCUUCAUCGUAUUUUAUUACAACAUCUAGGACAUCCUUAAGUAAAUAUCCUUAAGUAAAUAAAGAAAGCUAGAAUAAAGUGCCUUCACUGAUUAUUUAGCAUUACUGAGCAGGCCAGGUCUUCACUGCUUAUUUCCUAAUAAUUCCUUACUGUGGAAUUGCACUUACAAAUAAAGAACUUGUUCUUGAUAUUUUCGUACGGAAUUUCUCUCUCGAUGAGUCGGUCAAUAAAGUAACUUCGUUAUUCGGAUUAAUUUGAGGCCGGCCAUGAGAUGGAGAGGUUUUGUCACAUUAAUUAUAUAUGUCAUGUUACUUAGGUUAAAUAGAAUAAGAAAUAAAGAUAUAGGUUAAAAGGAAAAGUUAGUUAUAUGGAAUCAGAUUCACCAUUAAACUGAAGAGUCUCAUCGAUUCUACGAAACUUGUCGGAAGGAAUCAUUUGUUCAACAAAUCUUAAAUUUUUACUUGAGAUUCCGAAAGCCCAUCUCUAUGGAGGAGCUCUUUGGCAAUUCAUCCUCUAAGUGGAUUUCCUCGAAUUAAGAUGAGAAGAUCCGGCUUCAGCCAAUUCUGUUGUUUUUCUUGAUUUUUCAAGAUUUCAUGUUUUAUUUUGGAUUUUCCAUUGUUUUUCAAAUUAAAGAAACCAAGAUAAAAUACCCUGAAUCUUCUUUCAUAAUUUGCUUUCGAGAAGGUUUGGUGUUUUUGCUACUUUUACUUUUGGACCUGACUUGAUUCCUGACCGGUAGAAACAGCAUUAGUCCAAAAGAAGGGAAGCUUUUGUUUUUCUUGAAUCACAUGAUCUGAUAUUAUCAUUUAUGCCCAACACAAAUUCAUAAAAGUGGCUCUAAUGAUUGGCUGACAACAGUUGUUAAUGAGCAGUGUUAUUUUUCAGUUUACUAAGUAUUUAGAACAUUCAAUUCCAAUCCAAAGUCGAUAAUAAUAAACUCUUGGUGAUAGUUUUGUCAUCGAUGGUGAUCGGACGACAAAAAAACUAGAAUGAAUGGAGAUACCGUUAUUUUAUCACUGUAAAAAUAUGGAGUUGGUUUUUAAUGGGUCACGAGUCACAAAGACGAAAACAAGCUUCGCCAUAGAGAAGAAUACACAACUACUAGUCUACUAAUGACUUAAUAGUCUAUGUUUUCCCGAUGGACAUGCCUCGAACAUAUCAAGGUUAGUUAAUUUGCAGGAAUGCAGAUUGUAUGGAAUGAAGAGUCAUGACUGCCAUGUGUUCAUGCAAACACUCAUUCCAUUAGCUUAUCGUGAUUUAUUGCCAAAAGGGAUAUGAGAUGCACUCACGCAGAUCAAUCAUUUCUUUAGACAUAUAUGCGCCAACAAGUUGCACACACAUCACAUUGAGAGGCUUGAAACGAAUAUCGUCGAGAUAAUAUGCAAACUUGAGAUGAUAUUCCCUCCAUUAUUUUUUGAUUCGAUGGAGCAUCUACCCAUACAUUUACCGUACGAGGCAAAAGUUGGAGGCCCAAUCCAGUAUAAAUGGAUGUAUUUAUUUGAGAGGUUAGAUAUUAUAGAUGCAACGUAAUGAUUAAUGUAUUUUCAUUUUUUUUAUUAAUUGAAAAUAUUUAUUUAAUUCAAUGUAGGUACUUGUUUAAUCUUAAGAAAAAAGGUUAAGAACAAGGCAUAUGUAGAGGCUUCGAUAUGUGAGGCCUAUAUUAUUGAGGAGAUCUCAACAUUUAUCUCGUACUAUUUCGAGCCUCAUUUGAGAACGGGAAUCAACCACAUUCCACGACAUAAUGAUGGUGGUGAAGUGCCUUCAAGUGGGAACUUGUCAAUAUUCUCCAAUCUUAGAUGACCCACACCUAAAAAUGUUGUAAGGAGAAGUUAUUUUUCUGAAAUAGAGUUCCAAUAAACACACAAUUAUAUGCUAUUUAAUUGCGAUGAAUUGAGACCUUUUAUUCAGUAAGUAUAUAUACUACUUAAACUUUGUUAUAAAUGGACUAUUUAUCUAUUGUAAUAUCACAAACUCAUACAAUUUUGAAAACCUUGUAGGCAACAUCGACAAUAUUUAUUGUCUAAUAACUCACACCUGACCAAAUCUCAAAUCUUUAGAUUACAAGAUGAACAAUUUGCCACGUGGUUCAAAACACAUGUAAGUACUAUCACAAACUCAUUAUCUAUCAUGGUACUUAAUUUCAUUACAGAAUUCUUGUUUACUGUUCAUUGAUGUACUUGAUGUACAAGGUUUAUCAAAUGGGAAGGAAUGCUAGUAUUUCAUUAUCUUUACUAAGCUUGGGUCCUGAAAGAAAAGUGAAGUGCUACAAUGGGUAUUUUGUCAAUGGAUAUGUGUUUCAUACCGAAGAAUACUGGCAUGAAAGAAAGACAUAUAACAGUGGUGUUUGUGUUAAGGGAUUGACUUGUAAUGAAUUUGAAGUUGACUAUUAUGGUAAAUUAGAAGAUGUCGUUGAAUUGCAAUAUCAUAGCGAGCAUAAUAAAGUGUUUUUAUUCAAAUCUUAUUGGUAUGACACCACUGAUAGAGGAAUCACAAUAGAUCCCUACUAUGGUCUGAUCGAAGUUAACUCCAAAGCUAGACUCCACAACGUAAACGAUGUCUUUAUUUUCGCCAAGCAAUGCCAGUAAGUUUAUUACACAUACACCCCUUCCAUUAGAAAUGAUCGAUCAAGAGUUAAUUGGUAGAAAGGCUAGGGGAGUGAGACAGGUUUGGGUUGGUGCUGGUCUAAAGGAAAGAACAAAAGGCAACGGGUUUAGGGAAAAAUGUAAUCUUUGCUGGCUGCUAGGUUUUAGUAUAAUGGGGCUAGGCUUUUUUUUUUUGGACCAUGAGGAAGAAGGAGAUAAGUGCAGGGAAGAUUGAAGAUGAUAAGUGUAUGGAAGAUGGAAUGGGUAAAGGUCAUGUUUUUUUUUUUUUUGCAUUUUUUUUCUAGAAAUAGAAGGUUUGUUUCUAGUGAUUUUUUGUUAGCCUCUUUAACUAAUUCACUCCUUUUUUUUUUUUUGCUAAUGCUCUCUACCCUAAAACCCCCCCUUUUUUUAUGUAGUGCAACCACUUAUUUAUAGGCAAAACAAGUUUGUUUUUUUCAAUUGCUUGGUCUCCAAGCAUACUUAGUGACCAAGUUAACCCAAAAAUAAUUUAGUCCCUCAAUUCUUUCUUUUCACAUUUGGUCCCUUUGUUCAAUUUGAUUUUUCUUUUUUUGUAUUUUGAAUUUUUUUGAAAAAGAGCAAUAUCAAUGUUGACUUAAUAAGCGCAUUAACAACUGAAUGUGUUGAACAUAGAUUUUUGUAUUUUAAAUUCUUUGAAAAAGAUGUUGAAAAUGACGCAAAGACAUUAAAAACAAAUUUUUUUUGGGUUUUUUUUAAAUCUUUUAAAAUGGAGUAAAAAUAUUAAACAGAUGCCUCCUCUUUACAAUACUUAUGGAACAAAGACUUGUUAAGUUCUUGACUAACAAACUGUUCUUCUCAAAGCUUUUAGUUCGGUUGACCUGAAACUUUGUUUUCGCAGCAAUCCCCAUCAACGGAAACUACGAUCAAACUGUGUACAACUUGGUUAUCUUGAAAUCCCAAUCUAGUGAUUUUCUUAAUCCAAAACCAAAAUCAUUGCCAAAAGUUUGAUCAAUCUGAGAUCCCAAGUUGGCGAUCCGCUUUAACUAGAACUAAAAUAUGAAAAAUAGCUCGGUUAACCUGAAAUCCCAAUCUGGCGAUUCACUUUAACCAGAACCUUGGUCUUUGUUGUUAAGUUGAUCAACUUAAAAUCCCAAUACGACGAUUCUCUUUAAUAAGAACCAAAAUGUCGCCUUUAGCUUAGUUAAUCUGAAAUCUCAAUCUAAAGACCCCCUUUAACCAAAACCUUGGUCUUUUUCUUUAGCUCGAUCAACUUGAGAUCCCAAUCUAGUGAUUUCCUUUAACCAAAACCAAAAUGUCACCUUCAGCUUGGUUAACCUGAAAUCUCAAUCUACAGAUCCCCUUUAAUCAGAACCUUGAUUUUUGUCUUUAGCUCACUCAACUUGAGAUCCUAAUCUGGCUAUUCCCUUUAACUAGAACCAAAAUGUCACCUUCAGCUUGGUUAACCUGAAAUCUUAAUCUAGAGACCCCCUUUAACCAGAACCUUGGUCUUUGUCUUCAGCUUGGCCAACCUGAAAUCCCAAUUUGAUGAUUCCUUUUAACCAGAACUAAAAUGUUGUCUUAAGCUUGGUUAACCUAAAAUCUCAAUAUAGAGACCCCCUUUAAUUAGAACCUUGAUCUGUUUUUAGCUUGAUCAACCUGAGAUCCCAAUCCGGCAAUCCUAUUUAACUAGAACCAAAAUGUUUCUUUCAGUUUGGUUAACCUGAAAUCUCAAUCUAGUGACUCCCUUUAAUCAAACGAUUUCCUUUAACCAAAACCAAAAUGUUGCCUUUAACUCGGUUAACCUAAAAUCUCAAUUUAGAGACCCCUCUUUAACUAGAACCAACCAUAGGCUACUUAUAAAUCAACCUUCAACACCUAAAAACAAACCUCCACAUAACAACACUGCAAUUAUCAAUAACAACACCUAGUUCUAGCUAAAACCCUGAGCAAGAUAGCAACAACCCACAAAAAGAUAAAGCUGCUAAAUUGUUUCAACAUCUUAUCUAUAUAUGUAGAUUGAGACAAUUAAAGCAACUUUCUAGAUCUAUCCUUGUAGAUUUUUAUUUUCAGUAUAUAGACUGCUUCUCCCAUAUCCUUUCUAGGUUGCACCAGAUUCUUUUUUGUUUAAGUUUUGUUGGUUGAAAAAAAACUUUCUAAAAUUAUUAUUAUUAUUAUUAAUUUUCAUACACAAUUAUAUUUAUGAUUAUUAUAUGGUCAAUUUGUCUAUGUCAAAGAAUAGAAUCUGAGUCAACUUUUUGACCAAAAUUCCGUUCUCUAUUAUUCCUUCAAUAUUGGGGUUUAAUGCAAGCAACUUGUUUAUUCGGAUUUGAGAUGUAAAUAGAUUUUAAUUUUGUUAGGAUGAGGUGGUCAGGUUGCGUCACAUUGAUUAUGUCAUGAAGUUAACUAGAGUAAGAAAUAAAGAUAUCAAGUUUCGGAGAGAAUCAAGAUCAGUUAAAGCAAAAAAAAAACAGAUUAUGAAAAUAAAUUGGAAAGGAAAAGUUUAGUUAUAAGGAAUCAGAUUCACAAAGAAAUUUAAGUCUCAUCGAUUCUAGGAAACAAGUUGGAAGGAAUCAAUUUUACAAUAAUUGAACUUGGCACUAGAGAGAACCUUCGUGCCACUAAGUACUGAAUCGUUAUUCAAAUGUACUGAAGGCCAUUUGUUUGCCAUUUGUGCUAAUUAAGAACAUAAUUCUAUUCUUUUGUGAGUUAAUAUUCUGUAAAAUAAGCUUGGAAUAGCUUGCGGGGGCUUGGCUCAGAGAUCAUUGAGUUUUCACUACAAAUUGCCUUCUAAUGAUUAAACUGAGAUUUUUCUGAUUAGAGAACAGAAGGAAUCUUCUUUCAUAAUUGGCUUUUGCGAAGGUUUAGUGUUUUUGCUACUCCUGCUUUUGGACCUGACUUGAUUCCUGACCGGUAGAAACAGCAUUAGUCCAAAAGCAGGGAAGCUUUUGUUUUCUUGAAUCACAUGAUCUGAUAUUAUCAUUUAUGCCCAACACAAAUUCAUAAAAGUGGCUCUAAUGAUUGGCUGACAACAGUUGUUAAUGAGCAGUGUUAUUUUUCAGUUUACUAAGUAUUUAGAACAUUCAAUUCCAAUCCAAAGUCGAUAAUAAUAAACUCUUGGUGAUAGUUUUGUCAUCGAUGGUGAUCGGACGACAAAAAAACUAGAAUGAAUGGAGAUACCGUUAUUUUAUCACUGUAAAAAUAUGGAGUUGGUUUUUAAUGGGUCACGAGUCACAAAGACGAAAACAAGCUUCGCCAUAGAGAAGAAUACACAACUACUAGUCUACUAAUGACUUAAUAGUCUAUGUUUUCCCGAUGGACAUGCCUCGAACAUAUCAAGGUUAGUUAAUUUGCAGGAAUGCAGAUUGUAUGGAAUGAAGAGUCAUGACUGCCAUGUGUUCAUGCAAACACUCAUUCCAUUAGCUUAUCGUGAUUUAUUGCAAAAGGCAAUGAGAUGCACUCACGCAGAUCAUCAUUUCUUUAGACAUAUAUGCGCCAACAAGUUGCACACACAUCACAUUGAGAGGCUUGAAACGAAUAUCGUCGAGAUAAUAUGCAAACUUGAGAUGAUAUUCCCUCCAUUAUUUUUUGAUUCGAUGGAGCAUCUACCCAUACAUUUACCGUACGAGGCAAAAGUUGGAGGCCCAAUCCAGUAUAAAUGGAUGUAUUUAUUUGAGAGGUUAGAUAUUAUAGAUGCAACGUAAUGAUUAAUGUAUUUUCAUUUUUUUUAUUAAUUGAAAAUAUUUAUUUAAUUCAAUGUAGGUACUUGUUUAAUCUUAAGAAAAAAGGUUAAGAACAAGGCAUAUGUAGAGGCUUCGAUAUGUGAGGCCUAUAUUAUUGAGGAGAUCUCAACAUUUAUCUCGUACUAUUUCGAGCCUCAUUUGAGAACGGGAAUCAACCACAUUCCACGACAUAAUGAUGGUGGUGAAGUGCCUUCAAGUGGGAACUUGUCAAUAUUCUCCAAUCUUAGAUGACCCACACCUAAAAAUGUUGUACGGAGAAGUUAUUUUUCUGAAAUAGAGUUCCAAUAAACACACAAUUAUAUGCUAUUUAAUUGCGAUGAAUUGAGACCUUUUAUUCAGUAAGUAUAUAUACUACUUAAACUUNNNNNNNNNNNNNNNNNNNNNNNNNNNNNNNNNNNNNNNNNNNNNNNNNNNNNNNNNNNNNNNNNNNNNNNNNNNNNNNNNNNNNNNNNNNNNNNNNNNNCAAGAGCCGGCGGCCACCAGUUAUGAAGGUUCCCUAUGCUCAUCCCACAUAUUACUAUGUUCCUGCAACAGAAGUUAUCGACAGCAACGAGGCAGCUCAACGCUACAAGGGGAGGGUUUAUGUCGAUUAUCCUAAGGGGAAACCAGUUCCGUUUUAAAGACCUAGUGAUUAAUCACUUAGCUUUCUUGUAUGCAUAACCUCCUCCAGUUGUGUUACCUUUAGUCCUGUACGAUAUUCUCCCUCUGCUAAACGUAGACGAGGAGAGGUUGCUAGAACUCGAGUCAGGAGCUUCUUCUUACUUCUUCAAAUAAACUUUCUGUGAUUUAUAUAUCAUUUUCUAUUUGUAUGUAUUGUCAUAAUUAUCUUUCUUACUUCCUCAUUAUCACCUCAUACUUAGCAUGGAAUUGAAAGAUACACAAGUAAUAUGCUCUUGAAAUGCUUUGAAGCUCUUCAAGGUGUGAUUUCACCGACUAAGUUUGGAACUGUACAGAGCUCAAUGAUGAGCCGUGGGAGGCGUCUCUGAUUGUUGCACUGUAAGCAUGAGUGUACGUAUGAAUAUAACCAGCAGAUCCGCAAACCACAAGUGAUGACAAGCUUCUUAACACUACUACAGUUAACAGUUUUACUGACUGAUUUACGGACGGAAACAGUCCGUCGGUAAAUUCCUCUCGUCAGUAAUUUCAUUAAUGUCGG